CCAAAAUUAAACCAUGUAUUAUACUAAAUUAAUUCACAAGAGAGUUCCACAUCACUCAAAUAUUAUCUCGCACUCAAAUUCACAAAACUCACUUUCCAGGUACAAAGUUUGUAGCAUAUGACCAUGCAUUGUUUGCAACCGGGUCCGCAAGAUGGUCAGCGAGGUUCUCCAAUGGUCCCUUUCCGGUAACAAUGGCUUGAACAAAGAAUCCAAACAUAGAGAACAUGGCUAGUCUGCCGUUCUUGAGCUCCUUCACUUUCAGCUCAGCAAAUGCCUCUGGGUCAUCAGCCAGACCCAAUGGGUCGAAGCUACCACCAGGGUAAAGUGGGUCAACUACCUCACCAAGAGGUCCACCAGCAAUUCUGUAACCUUCAACUGCACCCAUCAAGAUCACUUGGGUAGCCCAGAUGGCUAAAAUGCUUUGUGCAUGGAUCAAACUUGGGUUCCCCAAGUAGUCAAGACCACCCUCACUAAAGAUCUGGGAUCCAGCCUUGAACCAGACAGCCUCACCAAACUUGACACCAUUACGCGCCAAGAGUUCGGGGAAGACGCACCCAAGAGCUCCGAGCAUGGCCCAUCUGCUGUGGAUGACCUCAAGCUCACGGUUCUUGGCGAAUGUUUCAGGAUCAGCAGAGAGCCCAGCAGUGUCCCAACCGUAGUCACCGGGGAACUCACCGGUCAGGUAAGAUGGGGCUUCGCCGGAGAAUGGGCCAAGGUACUUAACACGGUCGGGGCCGUACCAUGGACUUCCUGAUGGUGCGACUUUCUUGACUGCUGUCUUCCUCAUGGAAACCCUUCCAUUUCCGGUAAUUUCAGAACCAGAUGGUGCUACUUUCACCGCCUGUCCGACGAAAGAAGAGGAUAGUGCCAUGGUGGAAGCUGCCAUUUUUGUGAGAUUUGUUUUGAAGAUGUUUUGAUGAUAUGAUAGUAUUAUGAGUGAUGAAGAUGUGUGGAUCUGGAACGUAGAUUUAUAGGGUGGUUUUUGGGCCAGGUAGUUGAUCAAUGCUUAUCUUGAUACACUCUUUAACUUCAUUUUGAUUGGCUACCAAGAUUUUAGUUCUAUCAGAGGGUAUAUAAUUUGUGUGGUUCAAGUUCUCUGGUCCACGGGAGAUAUUUGAAGGGGCAGCGAUAUUCAUGGCUCUGGCUUAUUGAGCGAAUAUAAUGGCUCGCAUUCUCAGCCACUAGCUAGUCUUGGUGGGGUUUUAGCCAGUCUUUGUGCGGUUUUUCAUGUUUAACCAUUACCAUAGUAUCGACUAAGUUUAGUCCAAACAUGCAUUGAAGUUCAGUAGAUUUGUAUUAUCAUUUUGUUUUUUAUACAAAUUUAUCAUUUUCGUACAUAAUAUAAACUCUAGGAAAAUUAAAUAGAAUAUAUUUUGAGAUAUUGACAACAUUGACCAAAUAAUAAAAAAACGUAACACACCAUUCUAAAAAAUAACAUAUAACCAUGAUGUCCGAAAAAAAUAUAACAUAUAACCAUGAUUUUCGAAAAACAAAAUUCUUGAAGAUGUACAAUUUUCGAAGGUACUAUUUGGUGACUAAUUUUAAAAGAAGCCAUUUUCAAAAUGUAAUAUUCUCGAAGUGAUUAUUUCAGCUACUUAAGGUGAUGUUGAUUUCAAAUCUCUAACAUGACAAAAAGCUUCCCCAACAAAUCUGAAGCAUGGACAUUUCAACCUAAAGAUGGGUGAGGGAAGUUCUUUUAUUGAUCAUCUUUUGUUUUCUAACAGCUUGUAGAACAUCUAGAAAUAUUGGAUGCCACAUAUGAAAAAGAAGACUUGCCGUUGUUCCUAUUGUCAUCUUUAACAAAUUCAUAUGAUGACUUUUGUGAUAAUAUUAUCUAUAGCUGAGACACCAUUGUCUUGGAUGAGAUCAUGACCACUUUAGACUUGAACGAAAGGAUGAAACUUAUCAUUAGUGAUAGUAAUGGUGAUAUAAAGGACGAAGGUCUCCAAGUAAGAGGAAGAUAUAUGUAGGGAAGUAACGAUUCCAAAUCCCUUAACAAGUCAAGAUCCAAGUCCAAAGAGAAACGUAUAUAGUGCAAAUAUUGUGUGUCUGUUGAAGCUGAUGUGGCCGAGAUCGUCUUUGAUGGCGAGCUUCUAGAAUUAUUUCUGACGAUGGUUAUUUGAUUACCACGAACGGUGGGUUCUUGAAUUUGUGCGUGCUUUUCACAUGAGUCCAAACAAAUACUAUUGUCACACCACAUUGAAAAGGAUAGUUGAUGCCAAGUUUUAAUAGGCAACGUCGACACUUCCUCCCUUAUUUUAGGACAAGCCACAAUUAGAUUUUGAAUGUUCGAUGGUGUAGUAAGUGUUGGGUUUCUAUAACAUCAAGUACACACAAACAAGGUAGUGGAAACAAUGAAAUGAUAUACCUAAGUGCAUAUGCUCUUUAGAUCUAGGUUUUACUAGUUUUAGCAAAAUACUUAAAAAUCAACAUAAAAUAAAGAUAAAACACUUACUUUUUGUUCAUUUGUAACGUCAUAAUAAAUACUCUCUCCGUCCCAAAAUUAUUGUUCACAGACAAAAAAAAAACACACAGAUUAAGAAAACAUUAAUUACUACUAACUUUAUUCAAUAAAAUGACAGUUAUGUCCUUAUUUUGCAUUUAAUGUUCGAUUAAAUGCUUAGUUGGUUAAGUAAUAAUAAUAAAGUGUAUUUUGGUAAAAAAGUUAUUUAUUUUUAUAAGUGGACUAUAAUUUUAGGACAAACCAAAAAGGAAAGAUGGACUAUAAUUUUGGGACGGAGAGAGUAAUAAUUACUAAAAUAAAAUCCUAAAAUAGGAUAAUCUAUAGCCGUGCGCGCUGCGGACUAUAUAAUACAAGUUUCUUAUUAAGGAAAAAUAGGAAAAAUCACCCGAGUCGUCCGUAAGUCAUAAAAAUAAGUGUGCCAAAAUGUAUAUAUUAUUAUAUAUUCAAAAAGUACAUGUCGUCCUGAUCCCGAAAAUAUAAAUUUCGUAGAAAUCUUAGUUCAUAUGAAGACGAUAUGAAUUUUAUAAGACAUAAAAAUCAACAGCCUAACUAAAAAUUAUUAACGUCAAAAUGUACAAAGAGAAUGGUUGACCUUUGGGUAAAGUCACCAAAAUGAAAAUCAUAAUGCUCUUUAAUGUAAGAAUUUUGGUAAAAGAAACACAAAAACUCGGAGUCCGUAUGGGAAAGUUAUGAUUUUUGCAAAAUCAUUAAAUCAUAUAAAAAUAAGGGCUAAAAACAAAUUCAGAAUUAGCCGAUGGAGCCUAAAGGAAAGUUGUAGUAUUGUCGAGAGCUACAUGUGGAAAAAAAGAACGUCAAAAGCAGAGUCCGUAUGAAGAAGGUGAAAAUGCGACCCAAUGAGAGCUUGACACGUGACACAAUGUGGCUAGGGAGAAGUCACCUUAAAAUGCACGACGUACACCCCCAUUGCACACUGUGCACCCAAAAUCGGCUAUAAAUAGGAGGUCAAGCCUCAUUCACUCCUCAACACCGCUUCUAUCAUUCUCUUUCGAUUUCCUUUGGUUCUGGCCCAUUUUAUCUUAGUUUUAGCAUUCGGCGAAGCCCUGCGAUCCCUAAAGUAGUAGUAGUUAGCGAGUAGAAGCUUUGCCAAUGCAAUUUCCUAACUUUGUUAGGAAGAACCUUUGUAAGUUAAGCUAUACUCUAGUCUUUUCAAUGUAAGUUAUAUUUAUAGUCAUAAGUCAUUAUUAUGAACCUAUAAAUAAGAUUUAUCAAUAAUUCUAUGUCGUUAUACUGAUUGAUCUACUUACGGGAGAUGUGCCUAGAAUGGUCACGUUGGCUUGGUUGUUGGAUUUCAAAAAAGAUAAUGAUUCUGCCUCCCAACUGUCCUGCUUGGAUGAUCCUUAAUUGAUAGAUCUUGAUUUAGACAUCAAAAUUAAUGAGGAAUCUAGUCAUCAGGACCAUUAGACUAGAACUUUAUAUAAAUUAUACUUAGGUAUCGGAAAUAUCUGAGGUGUUAGGCAAAGCUCUGCCCAGAUCACCAGCCACCCACCUAAGUCAAGUGAGUACAUAGUCCCCUUCAUGAACACGAUUUAAUACAAGUAUUAAUUGAAAUAUUAAAAAUCUGCUGGAAGUCGUAUGUGAAUUAUAUACUUAUUGCCUGGAUUGUAUGUUAGGAUAUAUGGUGCUAUGUGCGAACUAGAUAUGGUUCUAUUUUAUGUUAAGAUAAAUAGAUAAUAUUACAUAAUAAUAUUCAAAGCAAAAUUGUUGAGAAGAUAAAUGAUUAAUAACACCUAAUACUCUUAUGGAAUAUAUAUAUAUAUAUAUACUAAGAUAGGUUAGUGUCGCCCAAGAAUAGAGUUGGUAUUAAAAAUUUAGUUUCAGGCACGGUAUUCUAUUCUAGGAAUAAACUUAGACUUAUGGAAGAUACCUAGUUCAAUUAAGUUGAUAUUAGAUAGUCUCAUUAGGAGAAUGUGCGUAACCUAGGAAUGGAGAGUAAAGUUUUGUUCCAUGACACUAUUAGGUGUCGAUUUGUUAUAGCUUCGUACUAGAUGACCAGAAAUGGUGGGUCCUGAUCAGGCAACUGUUAGCAGUAUGUCUAGUCACGCCACAUAGUAUUUUUGGAUUAGAUGUCCAAACCCAUAACUAUAAUUGGUAUAUACUUGACCCGAGAGUAGCAUGGUCCAUUUCAGGUUGCCUUCAUCAAAGCAAUUUGACAAGAUAGAUAUUUGAGAAAGAGGUUAUUUGUGAUUUACUAAUAUUAUAAGAAUAAUAUAUUAAUUAAGAAAUCAUAUUAUUUAAGUAGUAUUGUUCAAAAAUUAAUUUGGAAUUAAUUUAGUAAUCAAAAGAGACUAAUUAAAUUUGCAGGGACUGAUUAGGUAAAUCAGUGAUAUUUAUAGUUUGGGGCCUUUGGGCUAAUGAUCAAUGUUGAUUAGGAUUGGACUAAUUCUUUGUGAGAGUCCAUGAAGAGUUAGUCCAAAACGCUAAUGAGUUAUUGGAUUAAAAGCCCAAGUGAGUUAGGGUUUACAAGUUGAAUCCCUAGGAAUUCAUAACAUUAUUGAAGCAACAUACUAUUGAAUAAAAAAACUUCUAAACCCUAAUGGAAAUCACAAUUUUCAGAAGAAUUACAUACCUCUAAUUUGUUAUUGUAAGCAAACCUUUGAAUCCAACAAGAUCAAUCCAAAAGUCUCUUUGAAAACAAACUUCAAUUGUGAGCGAGCCUCUAAUGGUUCGCACUCACAAGACAAGAACCCUAGAAAGAUUAGGAGAGAGGUUCAAAUUUUUGGAUCUACUAUCUCAAUAGAAGUGGCCAAAAAUUUCAAGGUACAAGACCCUAUUUAUAGCUUAUUAGGAAACAUCUAGAAACCCUAAUUUGAACAUAAAAUAAAAUUAUCUCAAAUAAGUCAAUUAUUUAGUUUCUUGAUUAUCUGCAUGGAGGCUUCCUGAAACCUUAGUGGGUCUAAAAAAAAGGUCCACUGGAGGAAGGUUCUGGAAUCUCUCCUCUGCUCAACUCUUAAAACAAGUUUCGCUUUAGUCCUUCAACCUUUAAUUAAUUUUAAUUAACCAUAAAUUAAUUCCAAACCAAUUCUAAAUUAAUCAUAACUAUUUAUAAUUAAUAUAUUAAUCAUAUAAUAUAUUAAUAAAUCAUUUCUCUCUCUUCUAAAAUCAAUCUAAGCAAUUUCUUGGUUAUGAGGGCAACCCAAAAAGGACUUUGCUUUUAUUUAUCAACAUUAUAUCAAUUUAGUUUGGAUCUUAGACACCUUAAUCCAACAUAAGGUUCGUAAUACAUAUACAUGUUGUGUAUGUCCAUUAGCAAAACAAAAAUGAUUACCAUUUGUUUCUGCAAACAAUGUAUCUCAUACACCUUUUCAAUUGAUUCAUUGUGACAUUUGGGGUCCUUAUCAAAUCAAUUCACAUCGGGGUUAUAGGUUUAUCAUUACUAUUGUGGAUGAUUACACUAGAUUCACUAGGAACUAUUUGAUAAGACACAAAUCUGAGGCACAAUUUGUUAUUCCCCAUUUUUUUUUUUUAAAAAUGGUGCUCAAAUAAUAUCAUACUCAUAUAAAUAUUUUCAGAUCGGAUAAUGCAAAAGAACUUCAACUCAACGUGUUUUUUAAACUAAAUGGAGUAUUACAUCAGUUCUCGUGUGUUGAUAGACCACAACAAAACUUUGUUGUUGAGAGAAAACUUCAACAUCUCUUAAAUGUGGCAAUGACAUUGUUCUAUCAAGCUCACAUUCCUUUUAUAUGUUGGCUUGAAUGUGUUUCAACAAGUGCCUACAUGAUAAAUAGAACUCCCUCAAAAGUUCUUGGAAAUAUUUCUGCUUAUAAAAAUCUCUAUAAAGAAUAGCCUCAUUACUCAUAGCUUUGAAAUUUUGGUUGUUUACCUUUUGCAUCCACACUUCAUUCUCAAAGACAUAAGUUUGAUCAUUGAGCAAGAGCAUGUGUUUUCAUUAGAUAACCACAAGGAAUGAAAGCAUAUAGAUUUCUUGAUAUAGAAACAAAUCAAAGUUUUGUUUCUAGAGAUGUCAUAUUUCAUGAGGGGAUAUUUCCUUUUAAAUAAUGCUCGCCAUCUUCUCAUACAAAUCCAUUUAUCUUUCAUGUUUUGCCUAUACUUUUACCUAGAAUCACUCAUUCUUUUACUCCUUCAGAAAAUCUCAAUCAAUUUGAUUCCCAAAUUGAUACCUUACAAAUGAAAUUCCAAAUUCACAACCAAUAUUUCUAGACCACGAAGACAAAGAGCUCCUCCUUCAUAUCUUCAGGAUUUUCAGUAAUUUGAUAAAUCCAAUUCCAGAAGAAACAUCUAUCAAAUACCCAUUAUUUGUUGUAUUAUCUUAUUUACAUCUUUCUCCUUCUUACCAAGCAUAUACUUAUGCCUUAUCUACUCAAACUAAACCCACUUCUUUUAAAGAAGCCAUUCAACAACCUAAAUGAAAGCAAGCAAUUGAUGAAGAACGUCAUGCUUUAGAGUUAAAUAAUAGUUGAACCAUUGUAACCCUAUCUCUUGAUAGAAAACCUUUGGGCUGAAAACGGGAUUUUAAACUUAAAAAGAAGGUUGAUGGAUCCAUUGAAAUCCAUAAGGAUAUAAUGGUAGCAAUGGGCUAUAGUCAAUAAGGAGUGGAUUUUUUUGGAUACUUUCUCACUUGUGUAAAAUUUAGUCAUAGUCAAACAUUUGCUGCUAACAAAGCUUGGCCACUAAUCCAAUUAGAUGUUAAUAAGCUUUCCCAAAUGGGGAUUUAAAUGAAGAGGUUUAUAUGCACUUACCACAAGGAUAUACUCCAUCUUUGUUUCUAAUUCCAGUGGAAAAUUAGUCUGCAAUUUUGAAAAAUAUUUAUAUGGUUUACAACAAGCUUCAAGGCAAUGGUAUGAUAAAUUUUCAAAAUUUUCUUAUUUCUAAAUAUUUCAAGCAAUAUCAAUAAAAAAAUUCCUUAUUUUUCAAAGGAAAAGAUGAUAAUUUUAUGGCCUUAUUAGUAUAUGUAGACGAUAUUGUCCUUACGGCUUAUUCUCUCACAACCAUUAAUAACAUCAAACAACGUUCAAGUGAUGCCUUUUAUCUCAAAGAUUUGGGUAAACUCAAACAUUUUUUGGGUUUGGAAAUUGGAAGAUCCCCAAAUGGAAUUGUCAUUUCUCAAAGGAAAUGUGUUAGAUCUAUUUGAAGAUGUUAGCAUGUUGGUAUCCAAACCAACCUCUCAAUUAAUGGAUCCUUGUCAUAAAAAAUUAAUUUUUUAUGGAUAACCUGUAUAAGAUCCAUCUCAUUAUCGCCAUUUAGUUGGUCGUCUUCUUUAUCUCACAAUCACACCUCCCGAAAUAGCUUAUGUAGUACACAGAUUAAGCCAAUAUAUUUCUGAUCUAAAAAUACCACAUCUUCAGGUAGCUCAUCAUGUGUUAUGAUUUUUAAAGGAUAACCCUAGACAAGGUUUGUUUAUUUCAUCCAAACCAUCUUUGCAAGUCAAAGCAUUCAAUGAUUCUGAUUGGGUUGGAUGUAUUAACACUAGAAGAUCUUUUACAGGUUUUUGUGUUUUUCUUGGAGAUUUCUUAAUCUUGUGGAAAUCCAAGAAAAAAACCACUUUUCCAAGAAGAUCAAUAGAAGUAGAGUACAGGGCACUGGAUCUGUCAUAAAUGAUGUGAUCUGGUUAAGAUAACUUAUGCGUGAUUUUUUUUAUUAAUUUGGAUCCACCAACAUUUGUUUUUUGUGAUAAUAAUUUUGCAAUGCAAUUAGCUGUCAAUCCUAUAUUUCACUAGAGGACUAAGCAUAUCUAAAUCGAUUUCCAUUUCAUAAGGGAAAUGAUUGUGGAUCACACCAUCAAACUCAUGCCCAUUCAUACUUCAAAUUAACUAGCGGAUAUAUUUACAAAACCCCUUGCUUAUUCUAGAAUUGCUUUGAUUUUAUCCAAGAUGGCACUUAAAAGUAUUUUUUAGUGUACAUCUUGAGGGAGGUAUUAGAGCAUAUUGACCGCUUAGUUGAUUAAAUAUCUAUUACGAUGCCGUUUUAUAUUUGUCAUUAGAAAUAAAGGUAGUGAAACUAUGUCAUUUACUUGUGUAAAUAAGUUGUUAAGUUAGUUAGGUGCAUGUUAGCUAAUGUUGUGCAAGAUAAUAGUUAUAUAUAAUCUCAUUUUAUAUUUAUUGAUGAAUAAGAGAAGAUUAUAUUCCCUUUUCAAUUCUUUUUCUUCUUGAUUGUAAAUCUUUCCUCUACCCAUACCUUUCAUAACCCCCUAAAACUAUUUAAUCAAAUCGGUCACUGAAUUCUUGUUUCCAAUUUUGAUUCGAACGACGGUACCUCAAGCCAUUGUUUCAGAUCUUGAGGUAAAUACAAUUGCUCUAUUUCCCUUAAUUAUAAAUUGCAUUCAUGAUUUAUUGUUGAUUGAUGGUGCUAAAUGUUCAGAUGUAAAUCAUACACAUUGUGAACUUAUAGAAACAAUAUGUUGUUCCUAAAAUUGGUAAAAUCCAAAAUCCAAGAUGAUGCAAAUAUCGAUGCUCUACUAAAACUCAUAUAUGUCAAUGGCGCUACAUGAUGGAAAAAGAGCCACUUUUAGUUUGUUGUCAAAAGGCAAAGUGAAGUUAAGACAGUCUUCUCUCAAAUACGACCUCUAGCCUUAGGCUUCAAGUUGUUUCUCGUGUGAGUUUGGGUCUUUCAAAAUUCAACAAAUUUGCUACAAUGGAUACAAAUGUUCUUUAUGGAUACAUCACUAGACUGUAAAAUGAGAUUGAUAACAUUCACGAUGUUGUUAGAUUGCUUACAUUCAUGAUGUUGUUACAUUGGUAAAAGUCCGAGAUGACAUCAUGGUGGACGUUGGUAGAACGAGACAUGACAUUGUGUUCCUGCUCAGUACUACGCUUCCACCAUACUUAGUGUCACUUAUAUGUAGAAAGGUGUUAUCUAUAUCAAUUUUAUAUAUUAUGUAUAGUGUAGGGAGACAAUUUUAACAAUGUAUUGUAUAAAUAUAUUCUGCAAUAUACGCCUCCAAAUGAUGAGGUUUUUCCCACUUUAAUAUGGUAUCAAGCUACGGUUUCUACCCUCUUUAAUCAUACGUAUGGAUCAAACCUUUUACCGCCUCACAUUUUUUUUUCUGGCCAUUAAUCACGUUGUCGCUGCUCUUAUAUGCCACUAUAAUUGUCGACUGCUUCUCAAUUUUUCUCGACGUGCUCUCCUCCGUGCAUUAGGGUCUUCCUAAAAUAUGGUUGUGGUUGAUUCUUUUAUGUUUCCAACAAUAUUUUACAAUCUCCUGCUGUGAUCACAUAAUUUUGCCCUCAUCAUUAUUGUGUGCGUUUCUUGCUCCUUAAGGUAUUGCCUCCAUGACCACUCCUGGUUCAUCCUCUACCACCACUCCCAUGAAGUUAAGUCUCGUUUGUACUCUCACCAACGUUUACAAUCAUUUUAGUUUCAAAUUAAAUGUUGAUGAGCCAAACUGUAAACUAUGGAAUCAGAUUUUUUCAAACAUGUGUCGAGGCACAUUGUCCUAUGGUAAUAUUUCAUAGAAAUCGGUUCCAACCAGAGAUGAUGAGGAAUGAUAUUCGGUUGAUGCAAGGCAUCAAUUCUUAUUUUUAUAGUAUUGUGAUCCCGAGUUUCUUCAAUUCAUCUUGAGCGAUGAUUACACCACCACAAAUCUUUCGAAAAAAUUAGAUGAAUUUUUCGGAACAACAAAAUAUCUCGAAUGUUGCAAUUACAGGAUUAAUUUCGCAAUACGAAGAAGGGUUCAAGCUCCAUUACCGAAUUUUAUCACAUUCUCAAGAACCGUGCCAAUGAUCUCAAAGAUGUUGGUUCCACCAUCAUCGAAAUUGAGCUAGUAAUGCCAAUCUUGAGACAAUUACCAUCUCAUACCAUAGUAUUACGGAUGUCAUCACCAACAUCAAGCCUUUUCACUCUUUCCUUGAGGCCAAGAAUAUGCUUUUACUUCAUGAGUCUCGAGAAACGGCUUAAGAUUCCUUCACAAAUUCAUCCAUGUCUCAUAGUGUGGCUCUAUUUUCCUCAUCCAACAAUUUGGGAAAUCCAAAUACCGAUGGUCGAAAAACUGGAACAAUUCCCGAAAAAUUGAAAAACAAUGCACAUGGAAAUCAUUUUGAUUCGCAACCGCAAUUUAUUAGAAUUCUUGGAAAUGCUCUGUUGCCACCUCCGCGUGCUGCCUCUGGUUACGUUGCUGCUAUCCCAGCUGCUUCGCACUUAAUCCUACUGUCUUACAGCUCCUAUCUGUAGGUUCCAUUCUCGCCGAAUCAGCAGCCCACGUGACAACUGUCAGUGCCUCCGCAACCCUCUUCUCAACAUUUCACUUUUCAUCAGCAUCUGACUCAUGUUGUUGGGUCUUCAUCAUCAGCUACACCCCUCAGACUUGUUUCUCAACAACCAAGUCAGGUGCCUCACGGUCACUUUUCUCAACAUCAAUUUUUUGGUGGAUCUACUUUUGGUUGUCACGUUCAGACUACUCCUUAACAAUUCAUCGAUAUCGCCUCUGCCUUUCAAUCCAUGUCUCUUCAGCCGCCUCUCGACAACAACGUUUACGUGGACUCCGGUGCUAGCUAUCACAUGUCCUUCAAAUCAGUUAACAUGCCUUGCCUAUCACUACGUAAUUCUAGAUCUCUAAUAGUUGCUAAAGGUGCUAUACUUCAUAUUACUCAGACUGGUCAAAUUUUUUUUCCACAUUCACACAACUGUUUAGCUCUAAAUAGCAUACUUGUCUCAAAUAAAAUUGUUAAAAAUCUCAUUAAUGUAUGUCAGUUCACUGUUGAUAACUUUGUCUCUGUAACUUUUGACCCUUUUGGUUUCACUGUGAAGGAUUUUAAAACAUGUGCGUUUAUUUAAAGAUGUGAUAAUGGCAGUGAUCAUUGUCCCGUUAUCCCCAUGCCAACUCCUUCUUUUUCUAACACUAGUUGUGUUGUUGUUUCUCUCCCAACUUGGCAUAUGCGUCUUGGUUACCUUGGCUCAUCUAUUUUGAAUUUUUUACAUUCUUGCAAGUUUAUUUCCCAUACUACUACUAAACUACCCAUCUAUCAUGCUUAUUAGCUUGGGAUGCAUUGUCGUUUACCCUUCUCUUCGUCUAUAAUUAAAACUACUAGUAUGUUUGAAUUGGUGCAUUUAGAUUUAUGGAUAUCUCUUAUUGCUAGUCUAAGUUGUUUUAAAUAUUAUAUUUUUUGGAUGAUUUUACUCAUUUCUUAUGGGUUUUCCAUCUUCGUGAAAAAUCUGAUAUUUUUGAUGUUUUAUCUAACUUCCAUGGAUGUGUCCAAACUCAAUUUAAACCUGACAUCAAAUUUUUUCAAUGUGAUAAUGGUUGUGAAUUCAAUAACAAAUCUGUUCUCACUUUCUGUGCCCAUAAGGAAAUCAAAAUUGGCUUCUCUUGUCCGUAUACGUCCCAACAGAACGAUAAGGUUGAAAGAGUCAUACGAACCAUUAAUAACAUCCUUCGAACUUACCUGUUUCAAGCCUCCCUGCCUCCAACAUUUUGGGUUGAAGCUCUCCUCAUUACUGUUCAUACCCUUAAUCUCCUUCCCACCUCCACUCUUGCGUUUCAAACACCCUUUGAGCUUCUCUUUGGUGUUUUUUCCCUCCUAUGAUCACCUUUGAGUAUUUGGGUGCCUUUGCUACCCAAAUCUCUCAUCCACGACUCCCCAUAAGAUCUCUUAUAGGUCUUCUUCAUGUGUAGACCUCAAUCCCUCCUCUAAUCAUUGUGGCUUUUGUUGCCUUAAUCUCAUCUCCCAACGAGUAAUUAUCUCUCGUCAUGUCAUCUUUGACGAUCACUUCCAUUUCUCUACCUUUCAUGAUAAACCCUCAACCAAUUACUAUGAUCCUUUCCUUUCCGAGGAUAUACCUCCCCUCCUUACAGUAUGCACUACUCUUCGCAUCACUGAGCCCUCUCCUAGUGAAUCUUCUCCCGCUCUUUCUGAUAGUAGUUCCCCUCAACCCACUGCCUCCUCCUCCUUUCCUAAUACUAUUCCUACCCCCUCCUCCUACCCAUCCCAUGGUCACUUGCUCUCGCACUGGCUUUCUCAGGCCUAAGUAGAUUUUUAAUCUAUUUGCCACUUCUGAUGUCUCCCCUAUCCCUCGCUCUAUAUCUCAAGCUCUAUGUGAUCCUAACUGGAUUUUUCCAUGGACUCUGAAAUGCAGGCUCUUCACUCCAAUCACAAAUGGGAACUUGUUCCCCUUUCUCCAUGCCAAAAUUGUUGGUUGUCGCUGGCUUUAUUGUCAUAAGUUUGACAGAAAAGGUAACCUAGAUCGCUAUAAAGGUUGCCUUGUUGCUUAGGGAUUCUCUCAGCUUCCUGGUCUUGACUUUGAUGAUACCUUCAGUUCUGUUGUCAAACCUGAUACGAUUUGUACUGUUCUAAUUAUUGCGAUGUCCAAGCAUUAGCCAAUUCAUCAACUAGAUAUCAAAAAUGGUUUCCUACAUGGUUACCUAUCUGAGGAAGUUUACAUGAAACAACCUCAUGGGUAUGUCCAUCCCUCCCUUCCUAAUCAUGUAUGCCGACUUCUCAAAGCUCUUUAUGGUCUCAAAUAGACUCCCAAGCCAGGUACCAACGCUUUGCUGUUUUCAUCACCUCUCUCGGUUUUACUAGAAGUCGGUCUGAUUGUUCCUUAUUUACUUAUCACUCUGGUUUCGACCAUAUCUUCUUUCAUUUUUAUGUUGAUGAUAUCAUCCUCACCUCCUCCUCUUUCUCCACUCUCAUCACUCACAUUAUCUCAUGUCUCUCGUCUGAGUUUUCCAUGUCCAAAUUGGGUCCUAUUUCCUUAUUCAUUGGCAUCGAUGCUUUUCGAUCUGAGGAGAGUCUAAUUUUAUCUCAGGCUUCCUUUAAUGACAUCUUAGCUCGUGCUGACAUGUCUUCUUGCAAUCCGUGCAGUACCCUAUCUGACACUAAAUCUAAACUUUCUCCUCACGGCUCUCCUGUCUCUGAUCCCACUCUCUACAGGAGUCUUGUUGGUGCCUUACAAUAUCUUACUUUCACUCGUCCUGACAUUGCAUAUGUUGUACAGAUCUCUCUUCAUGUUUGCGUGAACCUCAUCUUCUUGCUCUUAAACGUAUCCUUCACUAUCUUCAGGGUACUAUUUCUCAUGAUAUGUUUAUUCGACCUUCCUCCAUUGAUCACUUGGUCUCCUAUUAUGAUGCAAACUGGACCGAGUGUCCUCAUACUCGUUGGUCUACUUCUGGGUUUUGUGUUUAUCUUGGCAAUAAUCUCGUCUUUUGGUCCUCUAAACAUCAACAUGUUGUUUCUCACUCCUCAGCUGAGGAUGAGUAUUGUGGGAUGGCUAAUAUGGUUGCUAAAGCUGCUUGGCUUUGUAAUCUCCUUCUUGAGUAAUCUUGUACGUUAUCUAAAGCAACAUUUAUGUUUUACUAAAUGUGAGUGCCAUGUAUUUAUCUUCUGAACCAUUAAAACACGAACGUAUUGCUCGUGCCGUCGAUUCACUAAUUUGCAGAUAUAUUUACAAAGGGUCUUCACCGGUUUAAAUAUUUGUAAAUCUCAUGCUCUAACUAGAGGGUGCCUUAGUUUAUAUUAGUUUAUAUAUAUUAUGUAUAGUGUAGGGACCAAUUGUAACUUUAUAUUGUAUAAAUAUAUUCUGCAGUAUAUGUCUCAAAUUGAUGAGGCUUUUCCCACAUUUAACAAAAGGAAAACUAAAUUAACACCAAAUUGCCCAAAAUUAAACCAUAUAUUAUACUAAAUUAAUUCACAACAGUUCGACAUCAAUCAAAUAUUAUCUCGCACUCGAAUUCACAAAACUCACUUUCCGGGUACAAAGUUUGUAGCAUAUGACCAUGCAUUGUUUGCAACAGGGUCAGCAAGGUGGUCAGCGAGGUUCUCCAAUGGUCCCUUUCCGGUAACAAUGGCUUGAACAAAGAAUCCAAACAUAGAGAACAUGGCUAGUCUACCGUUCUUGAGCUCCUUCACUUUCAGCUCAGCAAAUGCCUCUGGGUCAUCAGCCAGACCCAAUGGGUCGAAGCUACCACCAGGGUAAAGUGGGUCAACUACCUCACCAAGAGGUCCACCAGCAAUUCUGUAACCUUCAACUGCACCCAUCAAGAUCACUUGGGUAGCCCAGAUGGCUAAAAUGCUUUGUGCAUGGAUCAAACUUGGGUUCCCCAAGUAGUCAAGACCACCCUCACUAAAGAUCUGGGAUCCAGCCUUGAACCAUACAGCCUCACCAAACUUGACACCAUUACGCGCCAAGAGUUCGGGGAAGACGCACCCAAGAGCUCCGAGCAUGGCCCAUCUGCUGUGGAUGACCUCAAGCUCACGGUUCUUGGCGAAUGUUUCAGGAUCAGCAGAGAGCCCAGCAGUGUCCCAACCGUAGUCACCGGGGAACUCACCGGUCAGGUAAGAUGGGGCUUCGCCGGAGAAUGGGCCAAGGUACUUAACACGGUCGGGGCCGUACCAUGGACUUCCUGAUGGUGCGACUUUCUUGACUGCUGUCUUCCUCAUGGAAACCCUUCCAUUUCCGGUGAUUUCUGAACCAGAUGGUGCUACUUUCACCGCCUGUCCGACGAAAGAAGAGGAUAGUGCCAUGGUGGAAGCUGCCAUUUUUGUGAGAUUUGUUUUGAAGAUGUUUUGAUGAUAUGAUAGUAUUAUGAGUGAUGAAGAUGUGUGGAUCUGGAACAUAGAUUUAUAGGGUGGUUUUUGGGCCAAGUAGUUGAUAAAUGUUUAUCUUGAUGCAAUUUUUAACUUCAUUUUGAUUGGCUACCAAGAUUUUAGUUCUAUCAGUGGGUCCAUAAUCUGCGUGGUUCCACUAUUCGAGUUCUCUGGCCCACAUGAGAUAUUUGAAGGGGCAGCGAUAUUCAUGGCUCUGUCUUAUUAAGCGAAUAUAAUGGCUAGAAAUCUCAGCCACUAGCUACCAUGCACAAACCGGUUUUUUUUUUGAACCGGACCGCUUCAAAAAUCCGGUUCGGUUCUAGUCAAUUUAGUCAAAACCAGUUUGGUUCCAAACCGGUCCAGCUUCAAAAUAAUUCAAACGUAUGUAAACUCGUUAAAGAAAAAACCGGUUCAAAAAGGGUUCAAAACCAGUUUGACGGAAAAAAGGUUUUUUUCAAUUUUUAUUUUGUUUUUAGGCUAAUAACUGAAAAAUAGGAAUUUUUUUUUAUAAUAUUGCUUUUAUUGUGUUUAAAAAAAAAGUUUCACACUAGGUUUUUUGAAAAUGGAAGUGGAAUGAAUUGGGAAUUCAUAAGCCUUUUUUUUGGUAAUACACACGUACACACGUCCAUAUGCCAAAAGGUUUUUAUUAUUAUUUUUUUUAUUUCUUGUUUAAUCUUUUGAUGUAUUAAAUUUUUUUUUUGUUUCAGAUUUGAUGUUUUAUCUUUUUUUUUUUCAUUUUUUUUGUUUUUUAUAUUGGAAAUACAUAAUACAACUUCAAACAUAAAAACACAAAACAUCCAAAUUGUCAAACUAAUACAUCUUCAAAUAUAAAACAUUGAUGUCGUCGUAGUCUUCAUUCCAAGUCCGUAGUCAUUGUAUUUAUUCGUCAUCCGCCAUGUCGUUGCGUAAUUCUCUCUCAUACUCGAUCUCUUCUAGGGUGAGUGACACCGACAUUCCCAUCGCUACUUCUUCCUCAUGUACUCGUGCUUCGACAUGCAACGAUGUGCCUUCUAGUGCUUCGAUGUCUUGUAUCCUUUCCACGCCAUCAAGGUAGUAUUUCAAGCAAAUGCACACUUCCACCGACAAAUGGGUUAGUUUUGUUCUUCUUGGUGAUAUUACCCUGCCACUAACAGAAAAACCGAUUCCGANUUACCCUGCCACUAACAGAAAAAGCCGAUUCCGAAGCUACCAUAGAAGCUUGGGAGCUUAGUAGAUCACGGGCCAUAGCGGCUAGAAUUGGAAAUUAGGUUUCCUUUCCUUUCCACCAAACCAAAAUAUCAAAAUUUUCAAACUCUUGAAUACUCAUUUCACUACUAGAAAAAUAGCCUUUUACGACGCGCGAACAACGACACGCGCUGUUUUAUGAUACACAAUAGUGUGUGCCCUAAAAAUAAUGUCGGCUCUCCAAAAAUUAGAAGGAUUUAGGGUACGCAUUUUUGCGCGCCCUAAAAUAAGUGUUACAUUAAAAAAAAACACGGAGGGCACAUAACAUAAAACGCGCGUCCACUAAGUAUGUCGCUUUAUAUUUUUUAAAUGAAAUGCGGGUCACAUUUUUUAGGGAAAACGAAAUUCCAAAAAGUUUGAAAGGCCCGCCAUGUUCCUACCUUCUUUCCACCGUUCUUCUCUCCCUUACUCAAAAUACCCAAAAAAAACCCUAAUAUACUCAUCGCUCCUCUUUUCUCCCAUAACAAACUCGCACCAUCACCAAAUCUCUGAUCUCCCACCAGCAAAAGGUCUCCUACCGAUGUCUCCACCUACUCUCUGCCCUCUCACUAUUUCUCUCAAUUAAAAACGCUAGAUCUCUCAAUCAGAGAACCAUGGCUACUUCUCCUUUCUCCCACACCAGUUGGCAAAAAGUGAGGAGUCUCGAGCCUAGCAGUUGAUAUUCACAUGCCCUCUUAAAUUGAAGGAAUCAGAACAUUGUCGACAUCAAUUCGUUAAUCAUCACUAGAGAAAUCAGAUACGCCAUCUGGUUGAUGAGUCAAGAGAAAUCACAUAUGUCAUCGCUUCAGCAAUCAUCCCUCCUUUUAACCGUAAGUUUUCAAUCUUACACUUUACAAAUAUCAUAUAAACAUCUCUCUCUCUCUCUCUCUCUCUCUUUCUCUCUCCUGCUAUACCUUGAUGAAUUAUCGCAUACAUAUGGAGGAACUGCUUUCUAAAAGCCAGCUAUCGGGAGAGUCAACAGGGUCAAUUGGGUGUUCAAAAGGUGCUUCGAUAUCAUCUUCCCGCCAGCAAAUCUCUGUUAAAGUUGUCACAGAGUAAUCCAUUUGAGUUUGGGCAUAUAUUUUUUGUUAUUAAUUUAGGGGGAGACUGUGUUCCAUGAUUUUGGUCAUGCAUUUCUUCAGCACACGCUAACAAGACAAGAUGAAGGGCUUGUUGUUGGUAUUCGUGGCAUAGAGUGGAUGCUGUUGAGUUACCUUUCCAGUUCAUGGAAAAUUGGUGCUACCGUAGGUAGGUAUAUAUAUCUCCAAUUUCAAGAUGUUGUUCAACUGCUGCAGGAACGAGGUGAGGGUGGCUGAUGAGAAUUUGUGACAGGAACUAUCCGAUUGGGGAUUCCAGCUCAAGUGGGGCAGUUGGCGCAUCAGAUCCAGCAGAAUCAGAAGAUAAUGAGGCCUUUAUUGCAAUUCUCUUCUUUUGAAUAUGAAAAGAUGCACUUUUCAGUCCUAAUCUGGGAUGUGAAAAUGAAAGGAACCCCUGUUUAGCCAACAAAACAAAGUAAAAUUCAGUUACAACACUUACCCAAAUAUAGCAUUCUACCUUUAAUUUUUCUCAUCAAGACAAAAUUGAAUCAGUUAUGAAACCGACCACAUAAAAGGCUGUUUUUCUAGAGUUGCAAUGUUAGGAAUAAAAGUCACAAUGGUAUGUGGUCGGUUUCAUAACUGAUUCAAUUUUGAUGAGUAAACAGGUUAGAUUUCAUAUGGUUGUUUGUUCAGAUUGGUAUUCAUCCUGAUUUUCCUUCAAUUAUGCAACAACUAUGCUGGAAUUUGCUAUGUUCCAUACUCGGAUUUUGAAUUUAUCGGAAAAUUGAAUAAUUAAUCUGGAAAAAUACCAUCUUUGAAUGAUUUUUUUGUCAUCUGUAGAUAAGGAAUACCAUCUUUGGGUAAUUAGUUUAUCUAGUCUACAUGAUUAAAUUAAUGGACAUAUAAUUCUCUAUUGAUAGAACAAAAAACAUUGCUUUGUAGUGAAGAUAAGGAAUACCAUAUUUGGGUAAUUAGUUUAUCCAUACUCGGAUUAUGAAUUUAGCCCACCAUCAGCAGGGGAUUGCUGAGUUUUAUGUGACCAUAAUGCCCUUUCGGUUUGUAGUGAAGAUCCAAGCAUGUAAUUAAUAACACCUCUAAUUAAUUAAUUAAUUAAUCCCCUAAAACUAACUAUGGUUAAAUUAAACUGGUGGUAGGUGCCAGUGUACAUAGGGGCACAUAUGGUCAAAUAUGUUUUAAUUAUUAGUCUAAUAUCUUUUGAUACUUAUCAAUAACAACAAAAUAAUGUAAAAUCGUGUGAAUACAAUUCAAGGGUAUAAUGGUCUAGACAGAGAUUAUUUUUAUUAAAGAUAUUUAUUUAUUAAUCAUCAGAGAAGAAGGAAUUAAUAUGAAAGAAUCACUUACUGCAAAAUAAUCUUCAAAUGUAAAAUCAACAUAGCCUAAGCCCUGAUUUUUAUUUCACCACAGGUUGGCGAGCUGGCGGGAAUAGCUUUGGGAGCAACUGUCAUGCUUAAUAUUCUUAUAGUUGUGUACGUUAUGGUCAAAAUAGUUCAGCAAGAACCUCUGUUGAAAUGAUAUAGGCCACUAAUUAUUUAAAACUAUCACUGGCUCCUCAUUAUGGUCAAAAUAGUUGGUCUGUUAAAAAUUGUGACUAUGAGCAAUUUGCCACUUCUAAAUGGGUUCUUUGUAGUUUUCCUUUCUAUAAUUCAGGAAAUAGGAUCAUAUUUUACUCUUGCAGAAAUAGUUAUGGUCUGUGAGCAUUCUUCCAGAUUGUAAGAACGUAAUUUUCAACACAACAAAGGUGAAAUUAUAUCUAUGUUUUCUUGUGUAUUUAACUUCACAGGAGCUGAAACAUGAUCUAAUUUUUUUUAUCUAUUGGUUAUGUUGAAUAUGGAUAAAAGGUUGUGGCUCAGAAAAGUGUUGGUGAUGCUUCUACAUUUGUUGAGAGUGAAUUUUCACUGUCAAAUUCAAGUUGGAUUUGGUAUGUAGAAAAAGUGUGUGUUUAGAGUAAGGACUUUUUCCUUGUUGGACUGUAAUAGUAGACCAAUAUGAUUCGUUUUAUAAAACCCUUAGACAGAUCACAGUUGGUUCUGCAAUUGCAUGGUCAGGUAAACAUUCUAAACACAUUUUCAAUUUAUUUUGUGAUAUUUAAUUUCUCCCAUAUUCUUUUAAAUUAUAUUAUAAUAUGCUUAUAAACACUACUUUCCUUUCAUGUAGCCAAAAAAUUGUCCCAAAGUUGACUGAGGUACUUUGGACAAAAAUACAAUGUUAGCUUACAUCUUUAUUAGUUAAUAUAAUCAAAUUUCUAAUUUUAGGUGCUAACUGAUACGCGUCCGCAAGUUCAGUCUGCAUGGCAGACAACACUCCAGCAGGUUUGACUAUAUUCUUAUGGGUUGUGGCAUUCACAUUCCCAUAGUGAUCUUGAUAAAGUUGCUUCUAUUUCCAUGCUAAGUUGGCUUUUAUUUGUAAUAUAGGAGGUCCAAAAUCUUGCAAAGAAGGCUGCAGAAACUGUGGUGUUGGUAAUUGAUGAUGAAGGGACUGAGUAUUUGAUAUCAGAACUUCUCAAGUUGCUUCUAUUUCCAUGCUAAGUUGGAUUUUAUUUAUCUUACUGUUUAUUAUCAUUUUUUAUAUAAAAUUUCAUCAUUUAUAUUAUAUAUAUAGUACAUUAUAGACUUUGCAUCAUAAUUUGUUGAAUGUUACAAGAUAUAAUUCAAAAUUCAAUUUCCUCAUGUUGUUGCUGAAAUGACAGCAAUUGGUUUUGGCCUACCAAAGAAUGCAUUCACCGCUUUAAUGAAGAAUGUAAGUGUUUAUUUUUCUUUUCUGUUUGGUGAAAAUCAUCAAAUGACAAUCUCAUUAUAUAUCUUAGGAUCUUAUCAGUUAAUAAACUUGAUCGUGGGUAUGAUCAAGCAUAGGUUUACAUUUAUACCCCUGCUUUUAUCUUUUAUCUUUUAUGUUAUAUAAUUAUAUUCCCCCUUUUUUUAUCAGGUUAAUUUGGUGGUUAAUUAUGAUCUUCCUAUAAGACAUGAUCAUCAAUCUCACUACAAGAAAAAUACCCUUUUACGACGCGCAAAACACGACGCUCUUUGAUUUAUGUUACGCAUUAGAGAGCGACAUUAAAAAAGUGUCAUCUCUUAAAAAAUUUUAAGGAUUUAGGUCGCGCAUUACUGAGUGCCCUUAAAUUAGUGUCUCAUGUAAAAAUAUUAAAAACACGGAAGGCACUUGUGCGUCGUCUGUGAAUGUCGUUUUAUAUUUUUUUUUAAGAAACACGCGUCUCGGAGGGAAAAUGAAAUCCCCAAAUUUUUUAAACCCCCACCUUUUUCUCCCUCGUCUCCACCCCUCAUCCACAUCCACUACCUCCGAUCCUCAUUUCCUCUUCUAGCCUCAAACUACGGCGAUGCACCUUCCUUCUCGAAGAAUGCUUCAUUUACCACCAUCGUCCGAUUAUGUGAGCCCAAGGAAUUGACCAAGACGAAGAAGAUAAUGGAUCAAUUGCUUCACAUCAUGUUUAAGGUUAAGGGUUUGAGUUAGUCCGCAACAGGUAAUCGAAUUUUGCCUAAUAUAUAUUUCUACUCUCAAACUGUUUAUUCGUCCGAUUGGAUGCAUAUUUACUAUUAAAUUUGGGGAUUUUCUUUUAAAACCCCCGCGCCUCUUCUUGUUUGUAGCUAAACAACCGUGAAUUUGUUAGAGUGAUUGGAAGAGGAAAAAUAGAAGAUAGAAGAAAAAGAAGAAGAAGAAAAGCGAACAAACGGGAUUUCUUGACCUGAUGUGUUAAUCCGUGAUCAGGUCUUCUGAGCGAAGAGAAGAUCUGAGGCUCAAUUGAAGAAAUAUGAGCGCUUCUAGAUUUAUAAAGUGCAUCACAGUCGGUGAUGGCGCUGUCGGGAAGACUUGUCUCUUGAUUUCCUACACCCGUAACACCUUCCCCACGGUAAUCAUCUCUUCAUCAACCGCCUUCAGUUUCUGCCCAACUAAAGCACGGUUACACACUUAUUUCUCUUCGGACGUUUCUGUGGCUUCCAUGGGAACGGAGGAGGAUGAUAUAAAUGAGGCAACAACUUCAUUCGCUACAUGUUUGAACCUUAAAUUGAAGGGAUUAUAUAUUGAAAUUUGAAUCUACAACUUCGAAUUUCAGUCAUCUCUCUUCUCUUCUACAUCUCACCUGAUUCUCUAUUGAAAUUUCUAGGGUUUUUAAUUGAACCUACAUCUUCAUCUUAAUCUUCUUUUCUGAAGUUAGGGCUUUUUUCUUAAGAACAACUAAUUUUUUGCAGUAAGUAAACCUCUAAUUUUUUCAUUUCUCAUUUCCUUAGACCUCUCCCCUUUCCAUCUCAUAUCGAGGCAAAAUCAAUUUCACUUUGGUGGCUUCGAUUUCCUAGCACAUAUUAUGUUAUUAUAUGGAUUUGUAGGAAAUUAGAAAUCAUGUUAGAAUGUUUGAUGUUCUGUAUGUUCAUAAAAGUACAUCUAAAACAAAAAUCUUAGAUUAAACAAAACUGAAGCAUUUAAUGAGAUGUAAUUACUAACUUUUGUUGGAGAUGCAAAUGCUAAAUAAAGAAAACUGAAGCAUUAAAUGAGAACCUUUAUAAUUCGAUUUCAUUCAGAUCUUCGGUGGAUAUUUAGGGCUAACAAAGAAAACUGAAGCAUUUAAUGAGAUGUAAUUACUAACUUUCGUUCAAGGUAACCCCUGUUAUGAAUACAUGUAAGAAUUUAUUUAUCUUUUUCUCUCACCACUUGCUAUCCAUGUGCUGCUCUCUCAUAGUUGAUAUCUAACAACAAAGACCUGAUCAGUCUAGUUUGCUUGUUUUUUUUCUUUUUCUUAUAAUUCUUGAAUACGUGCAGAUUUUUUAAGACUUCUAGUUUUGUUUUUUGUUCAGUGAUAUUGAUGAUGAGGCAAGUUUAUCAACACUAUGGGAGAGAUAUCAAAGUGUCUCUGAAAAGGUAUUGCGAUAUCAAAGCAUAAAUUAUUUAUGGAUUAAAAUGGGAAAAUGACUUAUAUGGGUAAGAAAGUUUUAAAAACUUUUAAAAAUGACUAUCAAAGUAUUGUUUGUAUAAAAAACACCAACCAAGUUUACCAUUUUGUCAAAUCUAACAGGUUGGUAACCUGCAUCUGCCGGUCAAAAAAAAUUACCUGAUCAUUUUAAAAACUGAAAUUAUAAAUGACAUGGCAUCCUUUUUUAGUCUUACGUGGAUUAAUUGCAAGGGAAGAUCCAUUUUCUCAGCGUUCUUUCUCAAAAUCAGGAGGGAGUCAACACAGAACCCUCUCUAGGGUUAGUUUCUGCCCCUGUAUACAGUUAUUUUUGUUUAAAUUGACUGAUUUUAACAGUUGACGAAUAUGCUCCUGCUUUGGGCUAAUCACACAUAUGUCUUUUUUAUGACCAAAUUGCCCCUGUAUAUAGUUUUUUUUUGUUACAAUUGACUGAUUUUACCAGUCAAUUAAGGUGUUGUUUAGAAACUGUUAGUAUCCAAGACCAUUUACAUGCUCGUGCACAAAGACGAAUUUGCCCUUGAUUGUGACCAAACUGCCCCUGUAUACAUAUUUUUUAUUACUAAAAACACCCCCUGUCCUAGAAAAAUAUGACACUUCUAUACAAAAGCUAAUACCAAUUUCUCACUACAAAUCAACUAAUAAGAAAAGAAGUGGGCAACUCUCUAAAAUGACCAAAAUUUGAAUUGCAGUGUCACAAAUUGACAAUUUUUUAAAGCUAUAAUGAAAUAAUGCUUUGUUUUGUAAAAUAUACAAAAUCCGUUUGUUGUUGUGUGCAACUAAUCCACAAACAUUUACAUAAUUCUCGUUAGUGUACUUUGCAAAGUGGUGCUGAAGUAAUUUGGGCAACAAAAGUACAUAUAACUAUAUUAAUAUUCUCUAAAUAAUCAUAUAUAAUGAAAUAAUGGUUUGUUUUGUAAAAUAUACAACCCAUACUGUAUUUUUGAUAAAAAAAAAUAAUGAUUUUAAGAGAUUUUGUCCGAAAUACCCUUAUAUACUCUUUUUUUUGGUAAAAAAUUAAUGAUGUAAUAGUUUUUGACUAAAAUGCCCGUAUAUACUAUUUAACAGGUUUGACCCCAUCUGAAUUAUGAUUCAGCUUAAAAUUGAAUGCCAUUUUGACAAUUUUAUUGCUUUUAAGACUAUUUACUGCUGAAAAUAUGUCAAAUUUGUUACAUUUUGCUGCUAUAAAUAGUCAAAAAAUAACUAAAAGUCUACAAAGAUUCAAGGUAACAGUAAAUAAUACUGGCAUUUCCAGCAGCAAAUCUUCAAUUGCAGGGACUAAACUUUGUCAUUUUUAGCAGAAAACUUUAUCAACCAACAAAAAGAGGUUAAUAAAGAAUCUAAAUGGCAUUCCAUUGUAACAGCAUCAAAACACGACCUGCACUCAAAACCCUCCAAAAUAGCCCCUACACUCAAUUGUAACAGCCCCUCUGUUGUGAUUCCUUUAACUGUGACCAAAUUGCCCCUCUAUUGUGAUUCCUUUAGAUUCAAGGUAACAUUGUUUUAAGUGAAAAGAUCAUUUCAUAACUUGUUUACAUAAAUUCUUUCUUAGCUUGUUUACAUAAAUUCUUUUUCUGUCAAUUCCUUUCAAGACAAAAAGAAAGAAAGCAGGAACUUAUAGCCAUGCAAGUAAUUUCAUUAUUUUUCUCAUUAACGAUUGUACUUCCUUUGCUCUUUCUUGCAUAAUAAUAAACAGAUUUAAAGAGGAGUGGAGCCAUAUGACCACCUGAUGCCCCCAAAUCAAUUUAUUUGAGCUAGAUUUGAACGAUUUACAAGGAGAAGAAGAAAAUCAAUUGUCAAGAGGAGAGGAGAUGUAUGACCACCCACCUGAUGCCCUAAAUCGAUUUAUAAUAUGUAUUUUUCAUUUAAUGCUGAGUAGAUGUGCAACACACUACCUAAAUAUGCCAACUAAUCAUUACUUUUGCCAACUCAGCCGUUCACCUGGAGAUCCGGUUACCACCGGGUCAUAUUUGAACAAAAGAUAAACUUCGUUGGUAUUUUUUGUACGACGCCUAUAGUUAAAUGGUAUUUUUGAACAACUAAAACUUCAAUGGUUUUUUUUGAAUGUUUUUGAAACUUUCUUACCCUUAUAAGUCAUUUUCUCGAUUAAAAUUGAACUUUUUUCAUACAUUACCUAACAUUGACUUGUCUUAAUUUGCAGGCAGAAAUACAAAAGGCUUUUCAUAUAUUUCUUAAACAAUUUUUUGUAAUAUACAAGAAUUGGGAGCCAUUAGAUUUAGAUAAUUCCAUAGAACCUUUCAUUGAUUCAAGGGAUCCUCUUUCUGAAAAAAAGAUUGCAGUGGCAUCAGAAGGCAGUCAUAUCAGUGAUGGAAGCUGGUGGUCUUAAUUGGUUAGUAGGUAAGGUAUGCAUCUUCAGAUUUAAUUUCUAUUGAGAACUAAACACAUUUGAAUAUCUGAGAACUAAACACACUUGAAUAUUUAUAAAUGAUGCACACAUCCAAAGGGAUAAUAGCAAUGUUUCUAAUGGCGUCAAAUAGACCUGAUUGUGACCACUAAUGGUUCAUCAGGUUUGUUGAUUUUUAUUUUAUUUUAUUUGAAGUGCAUUAUCUGGUUUAAUAUGAAAUGAUUCAUGUUGAAAUUGGUUUCUUUUGUUACUCCAUAAUACUUGAUAUCUUAUUUUUUGCAUGCAGGUGCUAACAAAUAUGGUGUCAUUAUCAUUGUUGUUGUUGUUGUUGGAUACGGAUAUGUUUGGUGGAAGGUAAAUAUAAGCUCAUAUAUUAAUAUUAUUACUUUUUACAGUUAACUUGUACAUAGUUUUUCUUCAACUAACAGAAAUGGUAUCAUUAACAGGGUUGGAAACUUCCUGAUAUGAUGUUUGCUACAAAAUGAAGUUUAUCUGAUGCCACAUAUGCUUUAGCUAAAUAGAUUGACACUGUUUACUCAUCACUUGCAGUAAGUUAUUUAAAAACUUUGUUAUUUUUUUGUUAUUAAUUUGGGUUGUUUAUUAUGUUGUUUAGGCUACCAAGAGACAUUUAUCUACAAGGAUUGACCGUGUUGAUAGUAGUUUAGAUGAGGUUGCAGAAAUUACUGCUGCUAAAAAAGAGGAGGUAUGACAAGAUAAAGGUUGUUCUAGAUGUUUAAUCUAUACAUAAUGCGGUUUACACCCUGGUGUGGUUCUUUUCCAUUUUGUCUUGUGACUUUGAUAUUGUUUUCUGAGUUGGAUAUGUGGUAUGAUAAAUUAUUUUUACAUGAGAGUAGGCUGAGUAGGGUUGAAUUGAAAUAGGUACUGAAUAUUACCGUUUGACAUGCGAUUUUUUCUAGCUUAAUGAGAUAUUUAUAACAAAUAAUUUUGAAUUUUUGUUGUCUUUUGUAGGGAAAUCCAUCAAGUUCAUCAAGGCCAGCUCUUGAAUUACCAUAGAGAGUAAACUUCUAAUCUUAUACAAAUACAAUGAUUUGCUAAAUUCAAGAAAUAACAAUGCACUUUUAUUUAUUACUUUUAUUAAAACAUCCUAGUUUAAUUUCUAGCUUAAUGAGACAUUUAUUACUUUUAGCAGAGAUCGAUAUAUAUAUGAGCUUUUUGCUUUCAAACAUUGUUGGGGAAGAAUGUUGAAACUUGCUCUUUGUGAAGGUAAUUUUUUUUCUUAAUGCAUUAUCCUCUAUAUUCUUGAUAUUUUUCCCACUUUUUAAAUCUUUUAUCAAAUUCUCACUUUUGGAUACAGUGCUUGAUGAGAGAAUGUGUGACCUAAAUCUUUUAUCAAAUUCUCACUUUUGGAGUUGGCCAUAAGAAAAUGUAGGCAAAGGGUAAUUUGUUAUAGUUCAGGUUGACAAGGUGCUGUAUUUUUCACAUAAUUGACAAGGAGCUGUUGUAUCUAUUCAGACUAGACUUAGAGCAAUGGUUGCAAGAGAUGAGUUCAGCAGAAAAAGAAACAAGGCUGCAACUAUAGUUAAGGUACUAUGGAUGAAUUAUGUUUGUAAAGUAUUUAAGAAAAUGAUUAUAAACAAGGGUGAAUUUGUACAAAUUAGUUAGCUACUUGCANUGAGUAUUUGAUAUCAAAACUUCUCAAGUUGCUUCUAUUUCCAUGCUAAGUUGGCUUUUAUUUAUCUUACUGUUUAUUAUCAUUUUUUAUAUAAAACUUCAUCAUUUAUAUUAUAUAUAAUACAUUAUAGACUUUGCAUCAUAAUUUGUUCAAUGUUACAGGAUACAAUUCAAAAUUCAAUUUCCUCAUGUUGUUGCUGAAAUGACAGCAAUUGGUUUUGGCCUACCAAAGAAUGCAUUCACCGCUCUAAUGAAGAAUGUAAGUGUUUAUUUUUCUUUUCUGUUUGGUGAAAAUCAUCAAAUGAAAAUCUCAUUAUAUAUCUUAGGAUCUUAUCAGUUAAUGAACUUGAUCGUGGGUAUGAUCAAGCAUAGAUUUACAUUUCUACCCCUGUUUUUAUCUUUUAUCUUUUGUGUCAUAUAAUUAUAUUUCCCUUUUUUUAUCAGGUUAAUUUGGUGGUUAAUUAUGAUCUUCCUAUAAGACAUGAUCAUCAAUCUCAACCUGACCAUGAAGUGUAGUUGCACUGAAUCGGAAGAGCAGGGUGAUUAUGGGAGAUGUUAAGUAGUUAUAGGGCUUUAGAUGCUUUCCCUUUGGGUAGGAAAUGUUUUUAAGACAUGAUCAUCAUUCUCUACCCCUGCUUUCCCUCUGGUGUUUAUCUCCCAUAAAACCCUAAAAUGUGGAUGUGCUAAAACUGAAGAAAUUAGAAGACACAUACUGGAUUUUAGCAAGUCGGGUAAGUUUAAAAAUAUCUUAAUACGAUAUUGAUUAGAUUACACAACAUGUAAUGUAGAAAAUAUCAUGAAUAUUUAUGAUCAAUAUUCAACUUUUGAAAAUGUAUCCAGUUUGAUGUUUAUCUAUUUGACAUUUUUUUGAUAGAAAAUGAGAAUACCGGAGAAGAUGAACCACAAAUUUACAUUGAAAUGAUCAAUGGAAUUAUCAAAUCCCUUCAGGUAUCAUCUCAUAUCACUUGCUUAUGAAAUUUAUUCAUCUAUACUUGAAAAGAUAUAUUUAUUUUUGUGUUGUUUCCAGGCUAUCCUUGAUGCAGUUCUCAGCACAACAAUUAUGAUUUUAUGAUGUUAGGCUAAACUAUAAAGCAAUCAUUCUUUGUUUUAGGAAACGUUUCAGAGCUUCUUUAGGCAGCUUAAUGAUGAGUUAUUGAAACAAAAUGGUGCCCCUUUAUAGCAAUGUAGUAUUAGGUUAUAUAGAUAGGAAAAACCUCUUAAUAACAACGUACAAUUAGAUCCCCUUAAUAUCAAUGUAUUACAAUUUUAUGACAUGAUGUUAUUGAAUGAAAUUGAUUGUGUAAUGGAUUGUAUUUUUUGUAUAUGGUAUUUUAUUUUCUAUUAUGAGACAUGAAAUGCAAAUUUAAUUUGAAAAUUAGUAAAUCUAUAAAUAAUUUUUAAAAAAAAUAAAAUAAAAAUUAUGAUACGCAAAAAUGUGUGUCAUCUUCAUUUAUGACAUGGCCUUUCUUGACAGUGGCUUUAAUGAUACGCAUUGCGUGUCAUAAAUACGUGUCGUCUAUAGACGACGCGCAAAAGCGCGUCGUCUCUCGUUAUGACAGGGCCUUCCUUGACGCGCAUGCGCGUCGUCUGACCGUUUUACGACUCGCAAUGAGCGUCGUAAAAGGCAUUUUUUCUAGUAGUGUUUGAGACAAGAAAUCAGAACCAAUGUACCUUCCGAGCUCGCUACUUGGCGCGUUAGACCGAGCUCGUUUGGAAUUUUCAUUCCUCAAAGUAUUAUAAAGCCUAAUUGUUUCGUUAUUUUAGUGAAAAGUGGAUCCGGGUGCCCCCAUAUUUUGCAUCACGUCAUGAAUGUUUGUUGAACCAUAUUUUGUUAAAUAAACUUCAAAUAAAUUUUGAAAAACUUUGUUAAAUUUUGAAACUUCCUUUGAUGCAUAAUCAAUGUCAUCAUCCAAUAAACCCAAAUCGUAACAAAUAUUUUCAAUUAAAGUCUCAACCCCCCCAACAUUUAGAGUUGGAUUCAAAGUGGCGGAACAAGUAAUAAUGGGAGCCAUUUCUUGAAAAUAUUUUUUUAACUUUGCUUUCAUCGGUUUCAUCAUAUUAGCAAACAUUGUGCUCCUCAUUUCAAACUCAUUUAUUUUCGCACACAUUAAAAAAAUUUGGUUUAAAACUAAACAACUUGUAGGAUAAUAAACCCCCGAUAAAAAAGUGGUUGUUUUUUUUUUAAAAAAACAUCAAGCAUGUCUGUAACAAGUUUGAUAGUAUCCCAACUUGAUUCCGGAUAAGCCGUAACCUUAUUACGGUCCGAAGGUUGUCAUGUAACAUUUUUAAAGUAUGUUUUUGACGUAAGGCACAUUCAAAAAUUUUGCAAGUGGAGUCCCAUCGGGUAUUAUUUUCCCAAUUCAGACCUAAAAAGAGGGCAUUCGCAUCGACACAAAAUUGCAUAUAAUUAUGAUAUCGAGCGUUACUAGAACUAAAAAUAUCUUUUAGCAUGUCUUUGAAACCAUCUUUUAUAGUUUCAAUGUGAGUUAGUCCAUCUUGCACAACCAAAUUAAUCAUAUGUGCAACACAUCGACUAUGAAAAAUAAACACCAUCACAAAUUGGUUUAUAUUUUAGUUUUAGUUGUCCAACCGCGACGGUGUUGUUUGAAGCAUUAUCAAAAGAUAUAGAAAAAAUCUUUCCUUCAAGUUUAUAAGUUUUGAUCACACAAUCUAAAAUUUUAAAUAAAUUUCUAUCGGUGUGCGGGUACUCAAACAAUUCAAACGUAAUCGUAUGCUUUAUCAUUACCCAAUUAGUUGGAUUAAUCCAAUGAGCGGUAACACAAAGGUACGCAUCCGGUGAACCGUCAGGAGCCGUCCAAACAUCACAAGUUAAAUUCACACCGGUUUCUAAAGAUUGAAAUCCUAAAAUCAAUUCAUUUUUUGCAAGUUUCCACAUUUCAAUACAAUCGCGUCUAAUAGAAGUACGACUCACAUGGCAAUAUCGUGGUUGGAGAGUAUCUUGGAUGAGUGAAGUCAAUCGUUUGUUGUCGAAGUGGUCAAAAGGCAAGCAUUCUUGAAUCACGAACUUCGUCAUCCUAUCCCGAACUUUAGCCAUAUCGUAACUCCACAAUGUUGCAUCAUUCGUCAUUCUUGUUUGAAUAUGUCCCGACCCAAAUUUCACCGUGGGGCAUCUUUUGGUCAUAUGAUUUUUCAAUGUCGAAUUCUCAUCUUCAUUAAAAAAAGCACCACAUUUCUUGCAUUGCGCUUUUUUAUACCGUUCGACAUUACACACAAAUCGUAGUUGCACAAAAUAGCCGGAUUUCUAUUUGUUUCUUUGAUGCUAACAACGGUAAGAGUGUUUGAUGAAUCUCGAACACCAACGGAAGCCGAAUCCAUUGUUUGAAUUAAGAGUGGUUUUUGAACUAAGAGAGGUUUGCGGUUUUUGAACUAAGAGAGGUUUUUUGAGGUUUGGUUAAGGUAAAGUUGAGACCUAAAAAUGUAAUACAUAUAUAUAUACUAUAAGGAAUAGUUAAUAUGGUAAAAAAGAAGCAAAAAUCGAGUCUUGAACAGCCUCAAACGACUAUAUAGCCGUUAGGAAAAGACAAAAAAACGGUAACAUUACAAAAACCGGUUCACCAACGGCACUUUCGAAAUCUGGUUCAAAACUGGUUCAUCACACCUGUUCAGAAUAAACCAGUUCCAAACCGGUCUCCAGGGUAAAACAUGCGAACUGGUAACAUCCGAUGGUUCGGUUCACUAUGGGUUCGGUUCUUAUGUGAACCGGUUCAAGGCUAAACCGGUUUCCGGUUCACCAACCGGUUCGGUUCCUAAACCAGUUUUUUUGCCCACGCCUACCACUAGCUAGUCUAGGUGGGCUUUUAGUACGGGGGUUUUCAUGAGGAAUAGGUUGAAAGGAGUGUUGGCAUCUCACUGCCGUCAUCUGUUACCAUUUCAUAAGGAGUGGUAGCAUUCCUAGCACAUUAGAUUUUUUUUUUUUGAUUUUUUUUUUUGAACUUAAAUAAAUUAUAUUUUUAUAAAACACAAACAAUUCAAUAUUAAUCAAGAAACUAACUACAUUUUAUAGAUAAAUUUACCUUAUUUAAACAAGGAUUAAUAGAAAGGUCAAAUAAAAUUUAAAUGGUUAACGACAUGCUUAAAAUUUUACAAAUAUAUUGAUUUUGUAACGACACAAUUUUCUACUCUAUCAAGGUAAAGAAACAUUUAUGUUAAUAAUAAAGUGACACUUUAAUAUAUAUCUUCAAAUAAUUAUUAAAAAUAAAUAAUACUAUAAAAAAUUACCAAUACUAUCUAGAAACAAAAACCACUCACAGCACGGAAUUUACAAAACAACCAUCCAACUUCCUUAUUUUUUUGAAAGAGCUUUUACGAUCUCCAUUUCCAUUUCCUUUUUUUCUUAAAAUUACAUCUUACAUCUUCCAAUUUGCUAUUAUCAUUUCUUAAGUUUGUGAAAGUAGACUAUUCCACAAAACUACUCCUCCAAUUGUGUGAAACACGAAGCAAAAGCGAGACCUUUGAGCUUUUUCUUAAAAAAUAAUCCUUGUUUGAGAUGGAGACCACACCAUUGAUGGGAGAAAUGAAGGUUCUAGAGAACGAUUGUAAGAGGAAGAUUAUUGUAUCCACAGGCCAAUAUCCAACAAAUCUCUUUCUCUUUCUUCUCGCUAUGGUGUUGACGAGCCAUGGCUGGCGACUUCCUUGGCGCAAGCCAGGGGGCGGCCUUCAGCGCCCUUGGCGACCGGUGGCGACCUCCAUAGCGAGGCCCACUCCCUAAAGCCUUAUAACACACCAUUUAUUGACCAAGUUUACCCAACAAUGCAUCCCAAUUCAUUAGAUUUGUCUUAUCAUUAUACUUUUUAUACAAUUUCAUCAUUUUUCUAUAAUAUAUUAAAACUCUAUGAAAAUUCAAAAGAAUAUACUUUUGAAUUUUCAUAGAAUUUUAUUAUAUUAUAGAAAUAUGGUGAGAAUCCUAGAUGCUUUUAUCUCUCUUUCAGACUUAAAAGCCAGUAUGCGUUCAAUAAGUACGUGGCCAACUCCGGACCUAGCUUUUGCGAACGUGGGACGUUCACUUCGGAUAGCCUCGAAAUGAGUACCUCUUACUUUAAAAAUUUAUAACUUUGGCAUACGAGCUCCGUUUUCGACAUUCACUUUCAUUUAGACUCUGUUUGCUAAUUUUGAUUUUUAUUUUUAAAUUUAUAUUUUUUAACAGGCCGGGACUGGAAAAGCCCGUUAAAAAUUCAUAACUUCUUCAUCCGACGUUCGUUUUCGUAUGACUUUUUACCAUUAAACUACUAUCGACGAGAUUUUUGAUUCUCAUUUACAUUGUGUUGGAUAAAAAUCGCUCGAUCUAUACUUCGAACUACGGGCUGCACAAUGUUAUGCCAAAUCUUAGAAAAUUCAUAACUUCCUCAUACGAAGCUAGAUUUGGAUUUCUUUUUUAUGCACGCUCUUGGUUUAACGUAUACUACGAUUUUCAUUUAGAUUGCUAAGGCUAAAAAACACUUUAUCGUAAACUCACUUUUCACGUCACACAAUGUCAUGUCAGUUUUGUCGCGAAACUUCGAUAUGUCAUAAAUUCUUCGUGAUCAGGGCCGAUCUUGAAAAAUGAAAUAUUCUUGGAGCCCCAGGACGAGCAAGAAAAAAAUGGCCCUUAUCUUUAUUAUAAUUUUGUAAUUUUAAAUAAAAAUAUAUAAUGAAAAAAAUUAGGCCAUGUGCAGCUGCCCACUUUGCCUCCUUCUAAGCCCCCAUUGUUCAUGAUAACUCGGAUUUCAGCGUUCUUUAUAUUUCUGGAGUCCUUGUCACGACCACUACAACUUUCUUCAUAGAUAUCGGGUUUAUAUAACAUUUUAUUUUUGACGCUUAUUUUUAUUCUUAAUUAAUUAUAUCAUUAUAAACAAGUAUAUAAUCACAUAAAAUCACGUAAUUCACAUAAUACUCAAGUAAUUCAUCUUUAUUACAUUAAAAUAGGUUACAAUGGUUGACCUUGACUAUUACAUCAUCAUACUAAUGUGAAACAACCUAAAAUACGACCCAAUUUUUUUUUUGUUAAAAUAAUACUAAAGAUAUCAACCAUCAUAAUAUAUCAUGAAAUCGUACGUCAUAAAUCCCCAAAAAGUUAUAAUAGAUAUGUCAUGACAAAAGAGUUGUAUCAACAUACCAUAGUAUCUAAAAUAAACUCCCAGGACAAAAGUUGAAACUGUGGUGUGUGCAAUGUCAUCAUCCUGAGCUCUUUCCUUUGCUUGCGGAAAUACCUGAAACCAAAACUGAAACUGUAAGCACAAAGCUUAAUGAGCUCCCCCAAACUACCACAUACCAUACAAUAGCAUAUACAACACAUACUAGGCCUUGCCCACUGCAUCGGACCGAAGUCCGGAAAUUGCAUCGGACCGAAGUCCAGAACUAACCAAGGCCUUGCCCUCUGCAUCGGACCGAAGUCCGGAACUACAUCAGACCGAAGUCCGGAAACUAACCAGGGCCUUGCCCUCUGCAUCGGACCGAAGUCCGGAACUAACUGCAUCGGACUGAAGUCCGGAACUGACUGCAUCGGACCGAAGUCCGAAAUUGUCUGAACAUAACAUAUCAUAAACAUCUCAACCAGUAUGAACACAUAAACUGCAUAUCGCAUCAGACCGAAGUACGAAACACAUAACACAAAUACAUGCUUGAAUCACAAAGACAUCAAGCAUUCUAAGUACUGCAACGGACGGAGGUCCGAAACUUCUGCUAACUAAACCGACCGGCAUUGUAGCCGUAGACCCGUUCCUACUGGAAGGAAAACUCACCUCGUAAUGCUGGCUGCUGAGAUGCUAACUCUAAAAGUGACUGACCGCUGCUUCGGAACUGUCCGACUACAAAUCCCAGAAACACUAGAUUAGUUACUUGCAUAUACCCUCAGGGUAAGAUGACUAUUUUGCCCCUGGUCAAAGUCAACUUCUAGUUGACCGGACUCGCCGACUAUGGGCGCAGAACCGCCGAGUCCCUCCUUUACUAACUCUGACUUUAACUCACCGAGUCCCUUUCCCACUCACUGACUCUCUCUGAACUCGUAGGUCGAAGAAAAAAGGGGACUCACGACUCGACUCGUCGAGUCUGAAGAACAACUCGCCGAGUCCUGCCGUGCAUAUUCCAAACAAACGAAUUCAAAACUAUUCCAGAGCAUCUGACUUGAAGAUCUGAGCCCUUGGAACUAUCUAAACACGUGAAGUUUCUAACUUUACGUGCAACUAAGAAGGAAUGAAGCUAUUUCACUCAAACACUACUUUUCUUGGGAAAACUCAUCCGACUCGCCGAGUUGUAUGAACAACUCGUCGAGUCUAAGGUGAUCUUCAUCGGACUCGCAGAGUUGCUCAUCAAACUCGUCGAGUCUACGACUAUCUUCAUAUGACUCGCCAAGUCACACAUGCGACUCGCCAAGUCCAUUCAGUCCCUUUUUCCAUACAGACCUGAUUUGGGCCAUGCAGUGGCUCCAAAUCACAGAUCCAAGAUUCUAGGGCAUGCUUAUCACGUAAAUUUGCAAACUUUACGUGCAUGCAUGGCUUUAAAGGCUUCAAAUGCCAACCCUAAGCUCUUAAUGGGGUUCCAAGCUCAAGAGGGACCUCAAUCACGACCAUAACCGAAACUUUACUCUUCUAGAAUGCAAUGAGAGUCUAGAUCUGAUGUUUCCAUAAAAGGGGAAGUCCAUCUCUCAAGUUUGAACCAUAAGAGGCUCCAAAGAGGGCAUAACAAGCAUAUAUGAGGUUAUAAUGGGGGAAUGCACAAGGUCAUAACUUCAUUACCUGAAUGAAAAACAGAUGUAAGCUAACUCCUAGAUUUUCCUUCCCUUCUAUGGACCUUCCUUCCUUCCCAAAGCUUCCAAGCUAUCACAAAUACCCUCAAACUCAACAAUGGGGCUAGGGUUUACAAGGGAAAUGUUAUGAGAGUGAUAGAGGCGAGGUUGGGGGCGCAUAAGUGUGUUUAAAUAGGGUGAAAACCCUUAAAAUUAGGGCUUCAUCCAGACAGGCGGACUCGCCGAGUCCAACGUAUGGACUAGUCGAGUAGCCAUCUCAAAACGCGUGAUCGUCCCGUCUCUACUUGACGAGUCAGGCUACAGACUCGUCGAGUACCCCUUCAGAAAUGAAAAUACUUUAUUUGAAUUACAUACCAGAAAUGGGGCGUUACAACUCUCCCCCACUUAUCUUAGACUUUGUCCUCGUAGUCUGCUGCUGCUGCUGAAAAUAACUCUGGGUAAUGCUCCCUCAUCUCCUACUCGGACUCCCACGUCCACUCUGAACCCUUUCGGUGCUGCCACAACACCUUCACUAGCUGAACCACCUUGUUCCUCAAGGUCUUCGUCUUCCAAUCUAUGAUCGCAACUGGUCUCUCGAUAUAAUUCAGGCUGCUAUCAACCUGAAUAUCCUCCAAGGGUACAACUGCUGACUUGUCCACCAAACACUUUCGCAACUGGGAAACAUAGAAAGUGUUGUGGAUCUGGCUAAGCUCUACCGGAAGAUCCAACCGAUAAGCAACCCGACCCACCCGGACCAAAACCCUAAAAGGGCCAAUGAACCUGGGACCCAGCUUGCCUCUCUUCCGAAACUUGAUAACACCCUUCCAAGGUGAUACCUUCAGGAGGACCAUAUCGCCCACCUGAAACUCCAAGUCCGAACGCCUCUUGUCGGUGUAACUCUUCUGCCUACUCUGUGCAGUCUGCAGUCUACUACGAACCUGCUGGAUCAACUCUGUGGUCUUGAGCACCAUUUCAGUGCUCCCAAUGACUCACUGACCAACCUCGCCCCAACAAAUCGGAGUCCUGCACUUCCUUCCGUAUAGCAUCUCGAAAGGAGGACGUUUAAUACUAGUGUGGUAACUAUUGUUAUACGGAAAUUCCGCUAGUGGGAGAUACGUAUCCCAACUACCACCGAAGUCUAGAACACAUGCCCGGAGUAUGUCCUCGAGAGUCUGAAUUGUCCUCUCACUCUGCCCGUCCGUCUGGGGGUGGAAGGCGGUGCUAAAAUGAAGACGAGUCCCCAUCUCGUCAUGAAACUGCUUCCAAAAUCUGGAAGUAAAACGGACGUCUCGGUCUGACACUACCGAAACAGGCACUCCGUGCUGUGCUACUACCUCGCGUACAUAGAUGUGGGCUAGCUUCUUAGCCGAUAUGCUCUCCUAGAUCGGUAUAAAAUGUGCGCUCUUGGUCAGCCGAUCCAUUAUGACCCAAAUCGAAUCCACUCCCCGUGCGGUCCUGGGAAGCUUGGUGACAAAAUCCAUGGUAAUGUCCUCCCAUUUCCAUAUGGGAAUAUCUAACGGCAGCAUCUUGCCGUGGGGUCUCUGGUGCUCUGCCUUGACCUUCCUGCAGGUCAGGCAUCUCCCCACAUUCCAGGCGACAUCCUGCUUCAUGCAGGGCCACCAAUAGUCGGGUCGAAGAUCUCUGUAGAUCUUCGUUGCCCCUGGGUGGAUGGAAAAUCAAGAAUUAUGAGCCUCGUCCAUCAAUACCUGCCAUACUCCGCCCCAGUACAGUACCCAAACCCUCCCAUGGAGGGUCAACAAUCGUUAACUGUCAUAAUCAAAGGAAGCUACUCGGUCCACGAUUCUCUCACACUUCUGCCUCUCCUCCUUGAGGCCCUCGACGUGUGCCUCCCUGAUCUGCUCCAACAAGGGAGUAAUCACUGUCAUCCUCAAGCAUACAUCCCUGAUCGGGGCCGCUGCCGUCUUGUGGCUCAGGGCGUCGGCCACUACGUUGGCCUUCCCCGGGUGAUAAAGGAUCUCACAGUCGUAAUCCUUCACCACAUCUAACCACCGACGCUGCCGCAUGUUAAGAUUCGGCUGGUCCAUGAGGUACUUCAGACUCUUGUGAUCCGUGUAGAUGGUGCAACGGACCCCAUAGAGGUAGUGUCUCCAAAUCUUGAGGGCGAACACCACUGCCCCCAACUCCAAAUCAUGCAUCGGAUAGUUAGCCUCGUGAGACUUCAACUGUCUGGAGGCAUAAGCUAUCACAUGCCCCCGUUGCAUCAACACUGCCCCCAUAUCUGCGAUCGAGGCAUCACAGUAGACUACAAAAUCAUCCACUCUCUCCGGCAAGGUCAGAAUCGGUGCCUCGCACAAUCGCUGUCUGAGAGUCUCGAAAGUCGCCUGCUGCUCAGGCCCCUAACGAAACACCACCGACUUCUUGGUUAGUCGGGUGAGUGGAACUGCUAUCUUGGAGAAAUACUGAAUGAAUCUCCUGUAGUACCCUGCCAAACCUAGGAAGCUCUGAAUCUAUGAUGGAGACUUUGGGACCUCCCACUGCAUCAUGGCCUCUAUCUUGGCCGGAUCUACCAGUAUACCCUUCUGGUUGAUGAGGUGCCUAAGGAAUUGCACCUCGCGCAACUAGAACUCGCACUUGGAGAACUUUGCUAAAAGUUUCUCCCUCCUCAAGACCUCUAGCACCUCCCUUAGGUGCUCCUCGUGCUGCUCCUGAGUCUUGGAAUAAACCAAGAUGUCAUCGAUGAAUACAAUCACAGACCGGUCCAACAUCGGCAUGCACACGCGGUUCAUGAGUUCCAUGAACGCGGAUGGAGCGUUGGUGAGCCCAAACGACAUCACCACAAACUCAUAAUGACCAUAACGGGUCCUAAAAGUUGUCUUCUGAACAUCCUCACCCCUGACCCGCAUCUGAUGAUAACCGGAGCGCAAAUCAAUCUUGGAAAACCAAGACGCUCCUUGAAGCUAAUCGAACAAGGCAUCUAUCCUCGGAAGUGGGUAACGGUUAUUCACCGUUACCUUGUUCAACUCCCAGUAGUCUAUGCACAUACGGUGCGACCCAUCCUUCUUCUUCACAAACAAGAUUGGGGCUCCCCAUGGAGAACUAAUUAGUCUAAUGAAACCCUUGUCUAGCAGCUCCUGCAGCUGCGUAUACAACUCCUGCAUUUCUGGAGGAGCCAACCGAUACGGCGCCUUGGCUAUCGGAGCCGCACCAGGAACCAAGUCAAUCUUGAACUCAACCUGUCUCUCUGAAGGUAUCCCAGGUAAUUCCUCUGGGAAUGAGUCCGGGUACUCUCGCACCACUGCUACAUCAUCUACUGUCAUCGUACUCUUAUCCCGGGUAUCCAUCACAUAUGUGACAUAACCUGCUUAACCCUGUUGGAAGUAGCGCCUCACUCUCACUGCUGAACAAAGAAUCGGUCCGCGUUGUGGGCUCUCGCCCUGAAUCACUAACUCUCCCCCGUUGGGAGUGCGAACCCUCACUAGCUGCAAUUCGCAAUCAAUCAUCGCCCCAUUGGGGCUCAACCAAUCCAUGCUUACUAUGGCCUUGUUCCCUCGCAAAGGAAUAGGGACCAUGUCCACCGAAAACUGCUCAUCGAAUAACUGCAGUGAGCAUGCCUUAUGCACCCUCGUGACCCUGACGGUCCUAUCAUCGGCUAUCUCCACCUCGAGUGGACAAUCCAGCUCCCUAGGAUCUCUGCUAAACCUCUUGCUAAGUGCAAGAGAGACAAACGAUCGGGUAGCCCCUGAAUCAAAUGACACUGUAGCUGAAAUGUCGUUCACUAAGAACGACCCUAUACAUAAACAUAUAACAUUAGAAACAAUCAAUAAUCAAUGCAUAGAUAAAAGGAAAAUACAUACCCGUCACCACGUCAGGAGUCGCUCGCGCCUCCUCUGCUGUUAUCUGAAAAGCUCUACUCUUCGCCACUGGCACCUCGGCCCGCCCCUGACGACCGUUCGUAAUCCUCAAUGUAGCAGGGGCAGGUGCCGACACCUUCCCUGCUGCUGCUAAGCUUGGGCACUGGGACUUUUUAUGUCCCCUCUGAUUGCAAUGGAAGCAAAUCAGAUCUGAUGCUGCGGUAGCUGUGGUAGAAACUGUACAAUCUCUGCUCAUAUGCCUAGUCCAACCGUACUUGUAGCAGCCGGAACUCCCUGCCUUGCACGCCCCAUCGUGUAAUCUCCCACACUUGCCACACCGACUGUGGCUCUGCUGACCUCUGGACCUAUGAUCCGAAACCUUGGGCUUCUUGCCCAAACUCCCUGUACCCGAAGCCGCCUCCGCCUUCCUCUUAUUCUCCAUCUCAAGAUCAAUCUCUCUCUCUCUCUCUCUCUCUCUCGCCCUUGCAAUCAUAUCAUCCAGCAUCUUACAGCUGGAUCGGCUCACAAACUGGCGGAUAUCACUCCGCAGCGUCUCAUGAUAACGGGCCUUCUUCAUUUCCUCGUCAGCUGCGUACUGAGGAACAAGAAGAGCCCUCUCCCUGAACUUGGCGGUAAUCUCCGCCACUGUCUCUAUAGUCUGAGUAAGGUCUUGAAACUCUCUAGCUAACUGUUGCACCUCAAUAGUCGGUGCGAACUCGGCUCUGAACCUGGUGGUAAAAUCAGCCUAAGUCAUAGUAUCAAGUGCUAUGUCAUCCCUGAUACCAUGCCCAACCUCCUCCCACCAGUCACAUGCCCUAUCCUUCAGGAGACAGGAUGCUAAUCUGACCUUGUCCCCUUCGGGACAUCUGCUAGUGCGGAACACGUUGGCAACAUCUGCCAACCACCUAGUGCUCGCAAUGAGGUCCCGCACCCCAUGAUAGCCUGGAGCUCCACAAGCCCGAAACUCCCUGAAGGUGAGUGUGCGCGACCCCAUCAUGGCCGCCAUCUCAGCACGAAAUGUGCUCAACUUCUCAUCCAUCAACUCCAAGAUACCCUCCUUGAUCGAACCGAAGAUCACAGGACUCUGCUCAAGUAUGAUACGGGUAACCUCUGAAGUGAAAAACUCCCUAGUUUGCUCAUCCAACUGCUCGGCCCCCCAGCCUGAUCCUGAUCCUUCCUCGGCACCUGAGCUGCCGACUGCUGGCCUAGGGCGUAAAACCACCAUUCUGAAAACACAUCAUGAUAAACGUCAAAAACACUGAUAUAUCUCUAGGGAUCGCUACUACUAUAGGUUUCCUGGUCUCGCCUCUGCCUUCCUUGAUUCAAGUACAAAUCCUCAACAAAAACCAGUCCUCAACUGCUGAAGGCCUCCUUGUAAUGCCAAUUAGUCAUCACCUGAAUAUCAUCACAUGUGACGAGACUCAGAUAAUCCUUCGAGUAAAAGACUCAUUCCUACAACGGAUGGACUCAAACAAGAGCUGCGCAGUAGAGCCAAAUCCAGCACUCUGAGAUUAUUCAACCCUGAUCUCAGGCGAUGUGUCGUAUUCACCUAAUGGUUAACUCUCAUUACCCGGAGUCUCAUAAAGCACAAAGCAAGCAGCAUUCGGACACAGGAAACUAAUCAAGCCACUCUAUUCUCAUAACAAGAAAUUGUACUAGCAUACAAUGUUAAGCUCGUACUGUCAGGCAUAACCUAAACAGGCUAUCCUACUGCUGUCUACUCAAUACUAGCAUGCAGUUCUCAUAAAGCUGAAGCACAUAUAGCAUGCACAUAAGGCAUCCUGCUAGAUCCUUAGUCCUAUUCUAGCAUGCUGUUCUACUGAAACUAAAACUGAUAAUCAUAACAUAAACUUGUAUGGGUAAUUUAGGGGUACUUACUUGAGCUCGACUGAUCGCAUGCACCACACCCUUUUCUCGUUUUCAAAACUCUUUUCUUUUUAAGUCUCUUUCUCAAAAGUUCUUUUGAACACAUUUUUCUUUCGAAAAUCUUUUUUCUAUUUCCUCAGUUUGAGUUCAGUUACACCCGUAAGUGUGUCUGAAUCCCUCAAACCAAGGCUCAGAUACCAACUUGAAAUAACCCAAAAUACAACCCAAUUUUUUUUUGUUAAAAAAAUACUAAAGAUAUCAACCAUCAUAAUAUAUCAUGAAAUCGUACGUCAUAAAUCCCCAAAAAGUUAUAAUAGAUGUGUCAUGACAAAAGAGUUGUAUCAACAUAACAUAGUAUCUAAAAUAAACUCCCAUGACAAAAGCUGAAACUGUGGUGUGUGCAAUGCCGUCAUCCCGAGCUCUUCCCUUUGCUUGCGGAAGUACCUGAAACCAAAACUGAAACUGUAAGCACAAAGCUUAGUGAGCUCCCCCAAACUACCACAUACCAUACAAUCAUAUAAAACACAUAUUGGGCCUUGCCCACUGCAUCGGACCGAAGUCUAGAAAAUGCAUCGGACCGAAGUCCGGAACUAACCAGGGCCUUGCCCUCUGCAUCGGACCAAAGUCCAGAACUGCAUCGGACCGAAGUCUGGAAACUAACCAGGGCCUCGCCCUCUGCAUCGGACCGAAGUUCGGAACUAACUGCAUCCAACCGAAGUCCGGAAUUGUCUGAACAUAACAUAUCAUAAACAUCUCAACUAGCAUGAACACAUAAACUGCAUACCGCAUCGGACCGAAGUCCGAAACACAUAACACAAAUACAUGCUUGAAUCACAAAGACAUCAAGCAUUCUAACUACUGCAACGGACAGAGGUCCGGAACUUCUGCUAACUAAACGGGCCGGCAUUGUGGCCGUAGACCCGUUCCUACUGGAAGGAAAACUCACCUCGUAAUGUUGGCUGCUGAGAUGCAAACUCUAAAAGUGGCUGACCGCUGCUCCGGAACUGUCCGACUACAAAUCCCAGAAACACUAGAUUAGUUACUUGCAUAUACCCUCAGGGUAAGAUGACUAUUUUGCCCCCGGUCAAAGUCAACUUCUAGUUGACCGGACUCACCGAGUCAGGGCGCAGACUCGCCGAGUCCCUCCUUUACUAACUCUGACUUUAAUUCACAGAGUCCCUUUCCCACUCACUGACUCUCUCUGAACUCGUAGGUCGAAGAAAAAAGGGGACUCACGACUCGACUCGUCGAGUCUGAAGAACAACUCGCCGAGUCCUGCCGUGCAUAUUCCAAACAAACGAAUUCAAAACUAUUCCAGAGCAUCUGACUUGAAGAUCUGAGCCCUUGGAACUAUCUAAACACGUGAAGUUUCUAACUUUACGUGCAACUAAGAAGGAAUGAAGCUAUUUCACUCAAACACUACUUUUCUUGGGAAAACUCAUCCGACUCGCCGAGUUGUAUGAACAACUCGUCGAGUCUAAGGCGAUCUUCAUCAGACUCGCCGAGUUGCUCAUCCAACUCGUCAAGUCUACGGCUAUCUUCAUAUGACUCUCUGAGUCACGCAUGCGACUCGCCGAGUCCAUUUAGUCCCUUUUUCCAUACAGACCUGAUUUGGGCCAUGCAUUGGCUCCAAAUCACAGAUCUAAGCUUCUAGGGCAUUCUUAUCACGUAAAUUUGCAAACUUUACGUGCAUGCAUGGCUUUAAAGGCUUCAAAUGCUAACCCUAAGCUCUUAAUGGGGCUCCAAGCUCAAGAGAGACCUCAAUCAUGACCAUAACAGAAACUUUACUCUUCUAGAAUGCAAUAAGAGUCCAGAUCUAAUGUUUCCAUAAAAAGGGGAAGUCCAUCUCUCAAGUUUGAACCAUAAGAGGCUCCAAAGAGGGCAUAACAAGCAUAAAGGAGGUUAUAAUGGGGGAAUGCACAAGUUCAUAACUUCAUUACCUGAAUGAAAAAUAGAUGUAAGCUAACUCCUGGAUCUUCCUUCCCUUUUAUGGACCUUCCUUCCUUCCCAAUGCUUCCAUGCUAUCACAAAUACCCUCAAACUCAACAAUGGGGCUAGGGUUUACAGGGGAAAUGUUCUGAGAGUGAUAGAGGCGAGGUUGGGGGCGCAUAAGUGUGUUUAAAUAGGGUGCAAACCCUUAAAAUUAGGGCUUCAUCCAGACAGGCGGACUUGCCGAGUCCAGCGUAUGGACUCGUCGAGUAGCCAGCUCAAAACGUGUGAUUGUCUCGUCUCUACUCGACGAUUCGGGCUACAGACUCAUCGAGUACCCCUUAAUAAAUGAAAAUACUUUAUUUGAAUUACAUACCAAAAAUGGGGCAUUACAUAAUGCUUAGCCCAGAAACACGGACGUUACACUUCUCUCCUCCUUAGGAUGAUGCCAUCCCCAGAAUCAUACAUCAACAAACUAAUGCGGAUAGCGACUCAUCAUGUCACUCUCCAUUUCCUAGGUGAGAUUUGACUCAUUCGUAUGUUUCCGUCGCACAAGUAGUAAGUCAACCAUCUUGUGACGCAACUUCUUCGUCUUAUGGUCAACAAUCGCCUCCGGUUCUUCAACUAGCCUCUUAUUUUCAUCCAUCCUUAGCUCAUAAAUUAGAAUUAUGUCAGGAACUUCUCCCAUGAAUUUCCUCAAAUAACUCACAUGGAAAGUGUUAUGAAUAAUGUCUAGUUCUUCUGGUAGUUCUAGCUUGUAGGCUUGGUUCCCAAUCCUCUGAAGAACUUUGAACGGUCCAAUGAAUCUUGGACUUAACUUCCCUUUUUCCCGAAUCUUAUAAGUUCCUUGUAGCACCUGGUUCCUGGUAUGUAAUUUAUUUAAAUAUUUUGCAUUUUUGGCCUUGGACUCGGCAAGUUGAAGGACCAACUUGCCGAGUAGAAGCGGGAUGGGACGUGGGAUUUAAGUGAUGGACACGUCGAGUCGGGUCCCGGACUCGACGAGUAGGCUCUGACUGAAAAACCCUAAUCCGAGGGUUUGCACCCUAUUUAAUCAUCUCAUUUUCCCCUAAUGCUCCCAGAAACCCUCCCUAGUAAACCCUAAGUGUUUUGGUGCAAGAUCUAAGGCUUUUGAGUGAUUUUUGUGGGUUUUGACCUCAAGGAAUAAGGAAGAGCAUAGAAGGAUCAAGAGGAGACUGAAGGAUUAGAGUUUGGUGCAUCAUUUUCAGUCCUUGAAAGGUAUAAAUUAUGUACCUUGCUUGUUCAUUUGUUAGAUCCUUUUUUGGGGAAGAUUUAGGGCUUCUUAAGUCAUAUGAGGUGGCCAAACAUGGUUGGGGGUCAAGACUUCGGAUCUAAGUCUUGGAAGGAGUCCCAAAGCAGAUUUGGGUUGCUUUUGCACCCAAGGAAGGUCCCAUGCAACAUAAGAGCCAUUUUAGAGCCUUUUUGGGUCAAAAGUCCCAUGCAUGCACGUAAAGUUCGAAACUUUACGUUCUAGAUCGAGCUUAGGGCUUGGAUCUAUCUUUUUGUCAAAGGUUGUACAUCAGAAAUCGAGGAUUUAGGGUGUGGAUGUUAUCGAAUCGGCGAGUCAGUUCUUGGGACACGACGAGUCCAAAGCAUAGGGUCUGUUAUCUGUUGAGGGUCAAAAGAACCCAGUUGGGUGUUAGAAGGGUUGUAGAAGGUCCGAGAGAGUGACCCAACGUGUUGGACUUAGCCUUAGACUUGGAAUUCAUGGGACUCGUCGAGUGCUAGAACAGACUCGGCGAGUCCAAGGCAAUCUCCUUAUCGAUGAAGAUGAACUCGACGAGUUGUUCAUACAACUCGGCGAGUCGGGGUCAGGACUUGUUCAUCAGAUGAAGGUGAACUCGACAAGUGUUCAUCCGACUCGGCGAGUCGGAUGAAGGUUCAUUGAUGUUCGUAAAGAAAGGGAACUCGUCGACUUGUUGCCAAACUCGACGAGACGAGUCGUGGAUAAGGACGAGUAAAGGAAAGGGACUCGACGAGUUNAACUCGGGGAGUCGGGUCAACUGGAAGUUGACUUUGACUUGGACUUGGUUGGGGGUAAAAUAGUCAUUUUACCCCAAGAGUAGAUAUUAGUUUUCUGACUGAGUAUUUUGUGGGGAUUAUAGCCGGAGGAUUUCCGAAGCAACAGCAGGCAGAGGUUUCCUGCACAUAUUAUCAGCAGCUACUUGUUCGAGGUGGGUUGCCUACCAGUAGCGGUGGGUCUACGACCACAAUGUCGGCCCACCAAUAGGAGUUGUAUAAUUAUAUGAUUGUCUUUGUGAUAUCAUCUAGGUUGCUUCUACCUGAUAUGUUAUAUGCUGGCAUGAUAUGUUAUAUGUGAUAGUAGUAGAGUUCGGUUGUUAGGACCGAAGGGUAGGUCAAACACCCCAGAUAUGUAUGACAGUAUGUGAUGAUAUGUUUAUAUGCCGACAUGACAUGUUAUAUGGGAUAGUGGUAGUAGGAGGGGAACAGUCCCCAAGUUCGGUUGUUAGAACCGAAGGGUAGUUCAGACACCCCAGAUAUGUCUGAUAGUAUGUUUAUGUUAUGAUAUAUGUGAUAGUAGUGGUACGUGUGGAAUAGUCCCCGAGGGUCGGUCUUUAGGACUGACGGGUAGGUCAGCACCCCAAAAAGACUUGACAGGGGUAGGACGACACCCCAGAAUGGCCGCACGGGUAGGUCGGCACCCCAGAAUGGCCGUACCGGGUAGGCCGGGCACCCUAGAAUUGCCUGGCAGUAUGUAUGCUAUGUGAUUGUAUGGUAUGUGGUACGAUGGGGGAACUUACUAAGCUUCCUGCUUACAGUUUACAGUUUUGGUUUCAGGUACCUCUUCAACAAAGGGGAAGGAGCUGGCGCGGUAGCGGCACAUCAUACACACAUGUUGGUUUCCGCACUAGUGUUUCUUGGGUCGUUACAAGUUGGUAUCAAAGCCCUGAUCUGAGGGAUUCGGACACACCUUGGGGGUGUCUGGACUCAAAUCGAGGGAUUAAAAGACUUUUACAAGAAAAAUGGUUUCUUAAAAGCUAAGAUAAAAGAGUUUUGGGAAAGAACAAAGUGUGUGAUGUGCGCGACCGGCCGAGCUCAAGUAAGUAUUCCCCAAAGUACCCAUACAAGUUUAUGUUAUGUUUAUCAGUUUCAGUAGAAUAGCAUGCUAGAAUAGGACUGAAGAUCUAGGAAUGAUGGCUUAUGUGUCUGCUUUAUGUGCUCCAGCUUAUGAGAAUUGCAUGCUAGUAUUAAGUAGAAAAUAAUAGGAUAGUCUGUUUAGGUUAUGCCUGGUAUUAUGAGCUCAGCAUUGUAUGAUGGUACAACUUCUCGUUAGGAGAAUAGAGUUGUUUGAGUAGUUUCCUGUGUCCGAAUGAUGCUUGCUCAGUGCUUGUAGGACUCUGAAUGAUGGCCGUUAGCCAUUAGGUGAGUACGUCGCGUCGCAUGUCAUUAGGAUUGAAUAAUCUCAGAGUGCUGGAUUUGGCCCUAUUGCGCGGCUCUCGUUUGAGUCUAACCGUUGUAGGGACGAGUCUUUUACUUGAAGGAUUAUCUGAGCCUUGUUACAUGUGAUGGUAUUUAGGUGAUGGCUAAUUGAUAUCACAAGGAGGCCUUCAACAGCCGAGGACCGGUUUGGGUAGAGUCAGAGAUUUUCCCUAGGGUAAGCCUACGAUGAGAGUAGCAGAGAUCAGCAGUGGAAAAAGGGACUUGGUGGAGUCGAGGCCGUCCUUGAGGAAAGUACGGAUAGAUAUGGAAGGUAGUAUGGGCCCGUACUACAGAAAGCAGAGGAUCCGUACUCGAAUUAAGGAAGGCUAAGGCAAGACCAAGGAACUUGUGAUGGGUGUGAUCCCUAUAGAUGUACUAGUAUCACUGACGGAUGUCAUGAUGUAUUGCGGAAUGGUGGUACUAAGGCCAAGGCCAGCAGUGGGUAGCUCAGGAGAGGGAUCGGGUUCGGGUUCAGGCUCCGAACCAGUGGACGAGAGGCUACGCGAGUUCAUCGCGUCUAAGAUCACUAUAGGCAUCCUUGAUGCGACCCCGAUCAUCUUUGGGUCGAUCAAGGAAGGGAUUGUUGAGCUGAUGGAGGAUCGCCUUAGGGCGCUCAGGAGUGACAUGGCGACCAGCCAGUCAGGAUCCCGCAUACUAUCCUUUAAGGACUUCAGGGGCAGUGGCGCGCCGGACUUCCACGGGGAAAAGGACCCCAUUUCUGCUAGACGAUGGAUUGCGGACAUGGAGUCUGCACAGCUGACAAGCUUCUGCCCCGAGGGGCCGAAGGUGAGAUAUGCAGCAGGGUGUUUGAGAGACAGAGCUAGAGAUUAGUGGGAGUCUGUUGUUGACUCCUUGGGAGCCUCGGCUGUUGAGGCUAUGACCUGGUUAGACUUUGUGACCAGAUUCAGGGCGGAGUUUGCGCCAGCUGUAGAGCUUCAGCAGCUGGCCAGAGAGUUUUUGGAUAUGAGACAGACUACGGAGACUGUGGCGGAGAUCACCGCCAACUUCUGGGAGAGGGCAUUGCUUGUGCCCCAGUAUGCGGGAGAUGAGGACAUGAGGAUGACCCGCUAUCAUGACAUGCAGCGAGCCGAAAUUCGGGAGCAUGUUAGUUUUUCAGCUUGCCCUACCCUAGAUUCCAUGAUUUCCAGAUCAAGGGAGAGGGAGAUCGAUCUAGAACAUGUCCAGAAGAGGAAGGUAGAGGAGGGGCAGACGAUUGGGGCUUCGGAGAAGAAGCCUAAGGGAUCAGAUGGUAGGCCGAAAGGCCAGUCAGGACCAGGCCACUGCAGGAAAUGCGGCAGGCCACAUGAGGGGGCGUGUAGAUUGGGAUUGUCGGGCUGCUACAAGUUCGACAAGACGGGGCAAUUCAGCAGAGAUUGUACCGCCCCUACACCAGUUAUUCAGACGUCUGAGUUGCUGUGUUUUCAAUGCAACCAGAGGGGCCACAAGAAAGACAACUGCCCCCAGUUAACAGCAGCAACAGUGCCAGUGAAGGCGCCAGGUCUAGCGACCCUGCGAAUUACUGAUGACUGGAAGGCCAAGGCUGAGGCUCCAGUGGUGAGGAGUCGGGCCUUCCAGUUGACUACCGAGGAGGCACGCGCUGCACCCGAUGUGGUAACAGGUAUGACUUCUUGUUUAUGCUUUUAUGAUAUGCUGCUGUGAUUUUGAUAUGUUAUGUAUGUGCUCUGUUUAGGAUCGUUCCAUGUGAACGGUAUCCCAGUUCAAGUAUUGUUUGAUUCGGGUGCUACCCGAUCAUUUGUCUCUCUUGCGCUUAGCAAGAAGUUUCCUGAGUCUUCGGGCAUGUUGGAUUGCCCUUUAGAGGUUGAGAUUGUAGACGACAGGUCGGUACGAGCAUUAGAGGUCUUCCGAGAUUGUGUUUUGAGGUUGUUCGAGGAGCGUUACAUGGUAGACUUGAUUCCCAUACCCUUGCGGGGGAACAAGGUUAUUAUCGACAUGGAUUGGUGGAGCCCCAAUAGGGCGGUGAUAGAUUGCGCACAAUAGUUGGUGCGAGUCAGGACCCCAGGAGGGGGAGAUUUAGUGAUUUAGGGUGAGAGCCACAGCGAGGGCCAACCUUAUGUUCGGCAACGAGGACAAGGCGUUACCUUCAGCAGGGUUGCGCCGGAUAUGUCGCUUAUGUCAUGGACACCCGGGAGGAGGGAAAGGCGACAGUGGGCAAUGUGCCUGUGGUACGAGAGUUUGCGGACGUAUUCCCCGAGGAGUUGCCUGGGAUACCUCUGGAACGAUAGGUGGAGUUUAGGAUCGACCUAGUCCUUGGUGCGGCUCCGAUAGCCAAGGCACCGUAUCGGUUGGCUCCUCUUGAGAUGCAGGAGUUGUCUACACAGCCGCAGAAAGUAUUAGACAAGUGAUUCAUUAGACCUAGUAGUUCUCCCUGGGGAGCCCCGAUUCUGUUUGUGAAGAAGAAGGACGGGUCGCAUCGGAUGUGUAUAGAUUAUCGGGAGCUGAAUAAGUUAACGGUGAAGAACCGUUACCCACUCCCGAGGAUUGAUGACCUCUUUGACCAGCUACAGGGAGCAUCUUGGUUCUCCAAGAUUGAUCUGCGUUCAGGGUAUCAUAAGAUGAGGGUCAGAGAGGGGGAUGUACAGAAGAUAGCGUUCCGGACGCGCUAUGGCCAAUAUGAGUUCGUGGUGAUGCCUUUCGGGCUCACCAAUGCUCUUGCCGCAUUCAUGGAUCUCAUGAACCACGUGUGCAGACCAAUGUUGGAUCGGUCCGUGAUAGUUUUCAUCGAUGAUAUCUUGGUUUACUCCAAGACACAGGAGGAGCACGAGGAGUAUCUGCAAGAGGUUCUAGAGACUUUGAGAAGGGAGAACUUGUAUGUUAAGUUCUCCAAGUGUGAGUUCUGGUUGCGCGAGGUGCAAUUUCUCAGACACCUUGUCAACCAGAACGGGAUAUCGGUGGACUCGGCCAAAGUGGAGGCCGUGAUGAGAUGGGAGGUUCCAAGGUCUCCAUCCGAGAUUCAGAGUUUCCUAGGAUUAGUCGGCUACUAUCGGAGAUUCAUCCAUGAUUUCUCCAAGAUAGUCAUACCCCUGACCAGGCUAACGAGGAAAGUCGUGGUUUUUCGUUGGGGGCCUGAGCAGCAGGCCGCAUUCGAGACAUUGAGACAGAGAUUGUGUGAGGCACCAAUCUUAGCCCUAUCGGAGGGCAUAGAGAAUUUUGUUGUGUACUAUGACACGCCCAUUUCAGGUUUGGGCGCGGUACUGAUGCAGAGAGGGCAUGUCAUUGCCUACGCUUCGAGGCAGCUGAAGCUUCACGAGGCGAACUACCCGACGCAUGAUUUGGAGCUGGGGGCUGUUGUGUUCGCCCUUAAGAUUUGGCGUCAUUACCUCAAUAGGGUUCGCUAUACUAUCUACAUAAACCACAAGAGUUUGAUGUACCUCAUGGAUCAGCCGAAUCUAAACAUGAGGCAGCGUCGGUGGUUAGACGUGGUGAAGGAUUACGAUUACGAAAUCCUUUACCACCCGGGGAAGGCCAAUGUGGUGGCCGACGCACUUAGCCGCAAGGCAGCGCCGAUCAGGGAUAUUUGUCUGAGGAUGAUAGUGGUGACCCCGCUGUUGGAGCGGAUUCGGGAGGCCCAACGGGAGGCCAUGAAGGAGGAACAUCGGAAGAGCGAGCGGAUUGUGGGGCAAGUUUCCUCCUUCGAUUAUGAUAGCCGAGAGCUGUUGACACUACACCGUAGGGUGUGGGUGCCGUACCACGGGGGUGUACGCCAGGUUCUGAUGAAGGAGGCGCACAAAUCUCGAUUCUCCAUUCAUCCCGGGGCGACGAAGAUGUACAAGGACCUUCUUUUGGACUAUUGGUGGCCCUGCAUGAAGCUGGAUGUAGCAUGGUAUGUGGAGUGGUGCUUGACCUGUAGGAAGGUCAAGGCCAAGCACCAGAGGCCACAUGGAAAGAUGCAGCCGUUGGAUAUCCUGCUGUGGAAAUGGGAAGACAUUACGAUGGAUUUUAUCAUAAAGCUUCCUAGGAUCGCUCGGGGAGUGGAUUCGAUAUGGGUCAUCGUCGAUCGAUUAACCAAAGAGCGCCCAUUUUAUUCCGAUCCAGGAGGGAAUUUUGGCCGAAAAGUUGGCCAACAUCUAUAUCAGGGAGGUGGUGGUGCGGCACAGGGUGCCGGUAUCGGUGAUUUCAGACAGGGACGUGCGGUUCACUUCCAGGUUUUGGAGGAAGUUUCAUGACGAGCUGGGUACUCGUCUGUAUUUUAGCACCGCCUUUCACCCACAGACGGAUGGUCAGAGCGAUCGGACCAUCUAGACAUUAGAGGAUAUGCUGCGAGCAUGUGUUUUAGACUUCGGAGGUAGCUGGGAUACCUACCUUCUGUUGGCGGAAUUCUCGUAUAAUAAUAGCUAUCAUACGAGUAUUAACCGUCCUCCCUUCAAGAUGUUAUACGGGAGGAAGUGCAGAACCCCAAUAUGUUCGGGUGAGGUUGGCCAGAGGGUCAUGAGGAGCAUCGAGGUGGUGCUCAAGAUGACAGAGAGGAUUCAGCAGGUCCGGAGCAGACUUCAGACUGCUCAGAGUCGGCAUAAAAGUAAUCUUGAUAAGCGCCGAUCAGACCUGGAGUUCCAGCUCAAGGAUAUGGUUCUCCUAAAGCUGUCGCCAUGGAAGGGCGUCAUCCGAUUUAGGAAACAGGACAAGUUGGGCGCCACGUACAUUGGACCGUUCAGAUUCUUAGCCCGGGUGGGCAAGGUAGCAUACAGGUUGGAUCUGCCAGCCGAACUCAGCCAGAUCCACAACACUUUCCACGUCUCCCAGCUGCAGAAGUUUCUGGUGGACGACUCAGCAGCGGUACCCUUAAAAGAUAUUCAGGUCGAUGACAGCUUGAAUUACAUUGAGCGGCCAGUAGCGAUCCUCAACCGGAAGUCGAAGGAACUGAGGAACAAGAGGGUUGAACUAGUGAAGGUGCAAUGGCAACAUCGGAAGGGCUCAGAAUGGACUUGGGAGCCAGGGGAGGAGAUGAUCGAGCAUUACCCAGAGUUGUUCCAGGAACGAACAGCAGACUUCGAGGACGAAGUCUAAAAUAAGUGGGGGAGAUUUGUAGCACCUGGUUCCUGGUAUGUAAUUUAUUUAAAUAUUUUGCAUUUUUGGCCUUGGACUCGGCGAGUUCAAGGACCAACUCACCAAGUAGAAGCGGGAUGGGACGCGAGAUUUAAGUUAUGGACUCAUCGAGUCAGGUCCUGGACUCGACGAGUAGGCUCUGACUGGACAAAAACCCUAAUCUGAGGGUUUGCACCCUAUUUAAUCAUCUCAUUCAGCCACCACUCUACCCUAAUGCUCCCAGAAACCCUCCCUAGUAAACCCUAAGUGUUUUGGUGCAAGAUCUAAGGCUUUUUGAGUGAUUUUUGUGGGUUUUGACCUCAAGGAAGAAGGAAGAGCAUAGAAGGAUCAAGAGGAGACUGAACAAUUCGAGUUUGGUGCAUCAUUUUCUGUCCUUGAAAGGUAUAAAGUCUGUACCUUGCUUGUUCAUUUGUUAGAUCCCUUUUUGGGGAAGAUUUAGGGUUUUUUAAGUCAUAUGAGGUGGCCAACCAUGAUUGCAAACAUGGUUGGGGGUCAAGACUUCGGAUCUAAGUCUUGGAAGGAGUCCCAAAGCAUAUUUGGGUUGCUUUUGCACCCAAGGAAGGUCCCAUGCAACAUAAGAGCCAUUUAGAGCCUUUUUGGGUCAAAAGUCCCAUGCAUGCACAUAAAGUUCGAAACUUUAUGUGCUAGAUCGAGCUUAGGGCUUGGAUCUAUCUUUUUGUCAAUGGUUGUACAUCAGAAAUCAAGGAUUUAGGGUGUGGACGUUAUCGACUCGGCGAUUCCGUUCUUGGGACUCGACAAUUCCAAGGCAUAGAGUCCGUUAUCUGUUGAGGGUCAAAAGAACCCAGUUGGGUGUUAGAAGGGUUGUAGAAGGUCCGAGGGAGUAACCCAACGUGUUGGACUUAGCCUUAGACUCGGAAUUCAUGGGACUCGUCGAGUGCUAGAAUAGACUCGGCGAGUCCAAUGCAAUCUCCUUAUGGAUGAAGAUGAACUCGACGAGUUGUUUAUACAACUCGACGAGUCGGGGUCAGGACUUGUUCAUCAGAUGAAGGUGAACUCGACAAGUGUUCAUCCAACUUGGCAAGUCGGAUGAAAGUUCAUUGAUGUUCGUAAAGAAGGGGAACUCGUCGACUCGUUGCCAAACUCGACGAGUCGAGUCGUGGAUAAGGACGAGUAAAGGAAAGGGACUCGACAAGUAGAUGACCCAACUCGGUGAGUUGGGUCAACUGGAAGUUGACUUUGACUUGGACUUGGUUGGGGGUAAAAUAGUCAUUUUACCUCAAGAGUAGAUAUCAGUUUCUGACUGAGUGUUUUGUGGGGAUUAUAGCCGGAGGAUUUCCGGUGCAGCAGCAGGCAGAGGUUUUCCAAACAGAUUAUUAGCAACUACUUGUUCGAGGUGAGUUACCUACCAAUAGCGGUGGGUCUACGGCCACAAUGUCGGCCCACCAAUAGGCACUACUAGAAAAAAGGCGUUUUACGAUGCUCAUUGCGCGUCGUAAAACGCUCAGACAACGCGAAAAUGCGUGUCAAGGAAGGCCCUGUCAUAACGAGAGACGACACGCAUUUACGACACGCAUUUACGACGCUCAUUUACGACACGCAAUGCGUAUCAAGGAAGGCCAUGUCAUAAAGGAUGACGACACGCAUUUGAGUGUCGUAACCUUACGACACGCGUUUAGGACAUGCAUUGUGUAUCAUUAAAGCCCCUGUCAUAAAUGAAGAUGACACGCAUUUGCGUGUCAUAAUCUUCAGCAACCAUUUACGAUAUGCAUUUACGACACGUCUUUACGAUACACAUUUACGCAAAAUACAAAAAUAUGGAAAUAAAUAUAUAACAAAACAAUCAAUUUCAUUCAUUAACAUCAUGUCAAAAAAUUGUAAUACAUAGCGGAAGUAUUUGUUGAGAGCCCAAAAAGUUACAUAAAUCAAUGAAAGUAAAAUUCAUAACUUUUCUAGUUUUCAUAAUCCUAACAAUAGCUGCAUCAACCUGCGAUAUAUUUAUAAAAAAAAUGUGAUUAUAAAUUUAUAAUUACAAAAAAAAAUAAAGCAAAAAAAAAUUGGACCUGAUAUUGACGAUCUUGGGAAACUCUCUCUGUGGUGCUUGCGUUUUCUUCCACAGUUUCCUUCAGCUGGAUAUCAUUCACAUGUACAUGGAAUGGAAUGGAAUAAUGAAAUAAGCAAAGGAAUGGAAUGAGUCAUUCCAUUCCAAUUUCAUAUGAACUUCACAUUAUAAAAAAUUAAUUGAUCUCACCUUUAUACGAUAAAGAGGAGCAGUAAAUACAUCAUUAAACAUGAAGGAAUCAUUGUCAUCCACAUCAGUUUGAACCUAUUCUUUUGUCUCCUUUUCUUCUUUCUCUUUCCCUUGUUCUUUUUUGUCUUGUAUCUUUUCAAGUGGUUGGUACAACAAUAGAGGUAACGGGACAUGUGCCAGUAUUGGGUCCUGAAGAUCUUGUUGCUUUUGUGCUAAGUGUUUUGUGAUUGAGAAGCAAAUGGUCACAAAUUGCAUAUGGGUUCUGGACAUGCAAAUAAACUUAACUAUCGAUCACAUAACAAAAGCAAAUGAAAGUAUGAUGUUAUAAUAAACAAUUCAAAUGCUAAUACCUUUGACAUGUUUGUAUCUACAACAUUUUGGGAGCUUUCGAUGCUUCGAAGAAUUAAAAGUAUUGAAAUAACCUCUUCCUUCUUUAGACUAUUAUGAGGCUUCCCAUCUUCACAAUCACCACCAAUUGCCAACAUAGAAAGAAAUAAAUACAAUUUUCCGGAAAAUAAUAAAAAUUCAUAUAUAUUUUUUUCAUUCAAAGAAUCAAAAUCAACAGGUAUAGUAUGCAUUCAAUUUAUAUUUCAGGAAAAAAAAACUAAUAGUAUACCUACCUGUAUGUGGGUUCAUAGCAAGUUUUCUCUCUUGGAUAAAACAUUAUUUUUUUAUUUUAUUUAUACUAAAUGUUUUUUUUUAUAUUUUGAUAUAAUACAAAUUAAUUUAUGUUUUAGAUAAGCUCUCUUUUACUUNCCUGUCUUUUACUUAUUUACAUUGAAAAUUGACAAAUAGUUCUUUUUCCACAAAAACAGACAAACUAUCUACAAUGAGUUUUUUGCCCUUUGCCACUAUUUAAUCACCUUACCUUAGUUUUACACACAAAAUCCAAUAAUGGAAUAAUGCAUUGAACAUUACACAUUUGCAAAUAAGAUACACAUUAGCAAAAAAUGGUCUUAGCACUAACUUUCACCACCCACCCACCCGAUAACAAAAGAAAAUAUAAUCCGCCCACUCAGUUUCACUUUAUUUGCAAGUAAGUAUAAACAAUAAUAUUGCAGGGUUUUUUUUUCAGUAUGAAUGAGUAUUCAGUCACUAUUCAUCCAUACCUCUUUAAGUAGUUGAUACCAAAUGCUACCAUUAUUCAAUCUCCAUCUAGGGGUAGGGCUAGGUGUUGGUGUUGUUGGAGCAGAAGAAGCAUCAAUGAUAUUGAUAACAAUGAAAGGGGAACUCAAAUCAUCAAGUUCAUCAUCACUUGUGUUUGACUUUCUCAACACUGAUGAUCCAGUGCGACCCAAGUGUUUUAUACAUACAGCCACUCCCUCUCCUCCAACCAAAAUGGUUUUUAUUAUUGAUGAUGCUGAUGGCGGAUCAUAAACAACCGAACCAGCUACACAUGGGACACUGCUCACACAGUCUUCGCCACCCUCUGUAGAAUAUAAAGCCAAAAGAAACCUGUGUUUGUUUACUACUCAAAAUGAAGACAUAAAAGAAGAAAGGAAUAUGCAUUGUAUUGGAAAAAUGAAGACUAAAAACCUCUUAUAUUAUCCAUAUCAAUAAAGCUAUAUUUAUAGCUUCUUAGACACCCACGAUGAAGUAUGAAAACAAUCCAUGCUCUUGACUCCACCUAAUUAGCUUAAGAAUUAACUAUUAUAUAAAACAUAAAACACAAAACAAUAAUAAUUAUCAAAUCUAAAGUUUCAGCCAUGCACGUGAGCUAUGACUAACAAACCGAUUAACCCAACACCUUCCACCCCCAAAUCCUUAGCAUAUAUAAACAAACACCCUCUAAAUGCAUGUUAUUAGACAUACCAAAAUAUCUUUAAUUGGUUGGCUUGUGUGUCCUUCACAUCAACAUAAUUACUUAAUUAAUUAAUUAUACUGAACUCACCUCUGAGUCUAAGGCUUCAAGCACAACUUCAGGAAUAGCAUCUGGACAAAACUCAUCUGGAACAAAACUAUCUAGUAUCCCUUUUAUUAAUGCUACACCAAAACUCAAACAUACCUUCAAAAAAUUUUAAAUAACUUUAGCUUUGUGGAUAACUACACUACUAUAAAAGAAAAAGAGCCCAAUUUUAGAGACCUCUUUUCUGAUUGUGCUAUCUAACAACAUAUCCUUAGGAAGCAUCAUCAGGUCACUUAAUGCAUUCAGGAGAUGAAAAGAUUUGAAUGAUGAAUCAUCAGCAUCUAUAUCAAAUAAAUCAGUCAGCCACCUCGACCAAUUUUCAAUUUGCACAUUGCCAAAUGAACNNNNNNNNNNUAUAUAUAUAUAUAUAUAUAUAUAUAAAGGAUCACUUGCCAUGGGAAUUGGUCGCCUAUGAUUCAGAUCAGAGGCCUGGAAUCGUCAAGGUAGAAAACACAAGUCAAGAAAAAAAAUAAAAUAAGAGACUUUUAGGCAUAAAUGGUAUAUACCCUGUAAUAGGGAUAACAAACUCCUUGAGUGCUUUUUCACUUGUUACUCCAAUUAAUUCGCCAAGACCUUGAGCAUCCUGUUCUCUCAAUUCUGCAGACCUGCUUAUUAGGCCCUGAAGAUAUAUGGGAAGCAAUGGUUGAAGAGCCUUUGGGAGACAUAACCUGGGUAUAACAAUUGGUCCACCCUAUAUGUCCAUCAACAAAUAUUUAAAUAAGAUAAACCUUAAUCACUACUAAAUGCUGAUUAAAAUACACAUAGUUGCCCCUCGAGUUCCAAAACAUUAAAACAACUCUAUUUUGUGCUUAGAUUCCAAAAUAGGACCAAAACAAAAUUCAUACGCAAGUGCUCAAUGGAUGAAAAAACUCAUAUGUACAAAUUCUAAGCCAAAAUACAAGAAUACAUUAGUUCUACAUAAACCCUAUCAACUCGAAAAUAAAAUUUUCUCGUAUAAUAAUUACAUAACCAAAUUAUGUAGUGAAAUCACACAUUAAAGCAAAUGUCUUUGUUAUUGUGAAUUUUGAUACAUCAUAUAUUAUUAUAUUUUUACCUUUAUUAUAGAUUGGUUACCCAACUUUACAUGCAUUUGUUGAGUUUAUUUCUGGAUUUGACAUGCCUUCUGACAUUCACUCAAAGAAGAAAGACAACAUUCUUCUAGAAACUGGGAAACCUUUUCGAUGGCUCUCUUCCAUGAUGAGUUAUCGUUGCCACUAGCUCAUAUCUUCGACCGUAUUUAUUAUAAUUUUUUUUAUAAAUUAAUAAAAAGAUGAAAAUGAUAUAUANNNNNNNNNNNNNNNNNNNNNNNNNUAUAUAUAUAUUAUAUAAAUACAUACCUCUGGUGAUGAUAAAAAAAGGAAAUCACGAUUCAGAGUAAGGUGAAGAGGAAUGUGGAUUGGUUUGAGUAAUUUUGUGCUUCCUUGACUUACAUAGCUAAACCUCAUUAAGUGUAGUAUUAUUAUCUCUGGAAGCUCUAAUAUUUCACUGAUUUACUUGCACAUACUAAUUCACAUAAUAAUAAAAAGAAGUAUACAUUUCCUGCUGAUGAAGCACGAUACCCUUCAAGUGUCUCUGGAGCUGAAAAAAGAUGAAGUGCAUCUUCUAUUGUAUGCAUAGGAUCUGGACAUAUAUUCAAAUGGAGCAAAAGAAAUGGCUGAAUAGUUGCAGAUGCUUUGUUACCUAUUUUUGUUUUACAUUAAAAAUAUAUAAAUGAUGAAUUAAUGAUAUCAUGUUAUUGAGAUGAGUGAAAAAUGUUAAAAGAUUAAAAAAAAAUACCUCUUGCUUUCAUUACACUUUUUAUUUGGCCUUCGAAGAUCUGACUUAAUUUUGAAGGAAUAAAACUUUGUGUUCUUGUGAUUGUAGUUUUGUUCUUUGGUCCAACUGUUUCCCAAAUAUCAUCAUCAUCUUCAUCACUUAAAGAUGAAACCAGUGAAACUUUUCCACCAUUAAAAUUACAAACUUCUCCUUCAAGUUUAAGAAGUUCAUCAUGCAUUUGGUGCAUUACAAAGCUUAAAAACACCUGAGCAUCUUCUUGCCUUUUUAAAAAACAAACUUCAACUCAGCAUCCGAAAUUCCAAACAUAACAUAUAUAAAAUUUGUUGAUUAAUUUUAUAACAUUAACACAAACCUUGGUCUUCCAGAGAAGCUAUUUGGCAUAUCUGGAGAGAAAUUGUUGAGAACAGAUUCAAACAUGAUAGGUCGAAAAGGUUUCCCAGUUUCUAGAAGAAUGUUGUAUUUCUUCUUUGAGUGAAUGUCAGAAGGCAUGUCAAAUCCAGAAAUAAACUCAACAAAUGCAUGUAAAGUUGGGUAACCAAUUUGUAAUAUAGGUAAAAAUAUAAUAAUGUAUGAUGUAUCACAAUUCACGAUAACAAAGACAAUUGAGUCCAACUCCAUCGGCGUUUGCUUUUGAAUGAAUUCCUUGGGAUAAACCUUCCAUAUACGCUCUGCUCCCUUUCCUUUUGGAACAAAACACCAUAGCAAGACUCCAAAUAUGUAAUAAUAAUCGAUCGAUAAAGUUUCUACAUAAGUUGCAGGUGAUCAAAAAUGGCGGAAAUCAGGAAAUGUAAAUUGUACCUUUAGCGAGAUUAGGGUAAAGCCAUCACAAGUUAGAGCCAUCAUCACCUGUGGGAGACCUAGGGGAAGUUGAUCGCCUCUAUCCACCUGCCAAAAAAGUGAAUCGUCUUCCCAUAAGUUUUCGUCACUUUCUCUCGAUCUUGCCGCUCAACCGGACCAAGGACGCCGGGAAGGAAAAGGACGUCCCUCUUCACCUCAUACUCGUGGAUGUGCCACAUUGGCUUUUCUGAAUCCGGCAAGGUGAAGAACAAUUUUUAUGUUACGAUGUUUUCAACUCCGAUUAAAAAAGCCCUAGAAAUUAUCCCAGUGAUUUUGUGAUAUAUGAGUUGUUGAGGUAUACAGCAGAGGUGGUAUCGUGAUUAGGGUUUGCAGAGAAAAGGGGGAAGAAGAGAAUGAAGGGGAUCAAGCGGGGUAUUAAAAAAUUUAAGAUUUUUGAGAGGAUUUCAUUUCCCCCUUUCAAGAAGGCGCGUUUUAGUAAAAAUUAUAAAGCGACAAUCACAGAGGACGCAUAUUUUAGAUAAAGUGCCCUCCGUGUUUUUAUUUUUUUUACAUUCGACACUAAUUUAAGGGCAUGCAAUAAUGCGUGACCUAAAUCCUCAAAUUUUUUGAAGAGACGACACUUUUUUAUUGUCACUCUCGUUUGCGUAACAUAAAUCAAUAAGUGUCGUGAUUUGCACAUCGUAAAAGGGUCUUUUUCUUGUAGUGAGGAGUUGUAUGAUUAGAUGAUUGUCUUUGUGAUAUCAUCUAGGUUGCUGCUACCUGAUAUGUUAUAUGCUGGUAUGAUAUGUUAUUUGUGAUAGUAGUAGAGUUCGGUUGUUUGGACCGAAGGGUAGGUCAGACACCCCAGAUAUGUCUGACAGUAUGUGAUGAUAUGUUUAUAUGCUGGCAUGAUACGUUAUAUGGGAUAGUGGUAGUAGGAGGGGAACAAUCUCCAAGUUCGGUUGUUAGAGCCGAAGGGUAGUUCGGACACCCUAGAUAUGUCUGAUAGUAUGUUUAUGUUAUGAUAUAUGUGAUAGUAGUGGUAGGGGUGGAAUAGUCCAAGAGGGUCGGUUUUUAGGACUGACGGGUAGGUCAGCACCCCAGAAAGGCUUGACACGGGUAGGACGAUACCCCAGAAUGGCCGCAUGGGUAGGUCGGCACCCUAGAAUGGCCGCACGGGUACCUAGAAUGGCCGCACGGGUAGGUCGGCACCCCAGAAUGGCCGUACCGGGUAGGUCAGGCACCCCAGAAUUGCCUGGCAGUAUGUAUGCUAUGUGAUUGUAUGUUAUGUGGCACGAUGGGGGAACUCACUAAGCUUCGUGCUUGCAGUUUACAGUUUUUGUUUCAGGUACCUCUUCAGCAAAGGGGAUGGAGCUGGCGCGGUAGUGGCACAUCAUGAAUGGUUUUCCGCACUAGUGUUUCUUGGUAUUGUACUAUGACAUUAUUCUUAUUUUUGUGAAUGGUUUUCAGACAUGAGAUGUGGUUUUAUGAAAAGUUAUGAUUAGAUGGUGUUUUCUUAUAAAUGUUUUUACAAGUCAAUUUUAAAAAUGAAAUUUUUGGACUUGUAAAUUGGGUCGUUACAUUCCUUCCAUGGUAAGACUUUAAGCAAAACCAAAUCUCCAACUUCGAAUGCCAUCAGUCGUCUUUUCUUGUCAGCAUAGCUCUUUUUACAAUCCUGAGCUGCUAACAUCCUUUCCCUAAUCACUCUUAACUUUUCAACAGUCUGAUGGACUAUCUCGGGGCCCAUAAACUGCCUUUGUUCAACUUCAAGCCAACAUGACGGCGUACGACACUUUUUUCCGUACAAAGCUUAAUAAGGUGCCAUCUUGAUGCUUAAGUGGAAACUAUUAUUGUAGGAAAACUCUACCAGAGGUAAGUGUUCAUCCCAGUUACCUUGGAAUUCUAGGGUACACACUCUUAGCAUUACUAUAGUGUUUGAAUCGUCCUUUUUCUCUAACCAUCGGUCUGUAGAUGGUAGGCUAUACUUAAACACAGCUUCGUACCCAAUUCUUCUUGUAGACUCCUCCAAAACCUUGACGUGAAACGGCUAUCAUGGUGUAACGCCCAUGUUUCUAGGCUAGGCAUUAAUGAUAAUGUAAUAGUCUAGGUUAACCUUUGUAACCCGUCUUGAAAUAAUAAAAAUGUAUUAUUUGAGUAUUAUGUGUUUUGUGCUUAAUUGUGUGACUUAAAUGAAUUAAGGAUAAAAAUAAGCAUCAAAAUGAAAUGUUAGAUAAACUCGAUAUCUAUGAAGGAUGUGGUAGUGGUCGUGGCAAGGUUUCCAAAUAUAUAAAGAAUGCCAAAAUCUGAGUUAUAACGAAAAAGUUAUGAUCUGUCGAAGUUUCGUUACAGAACCGGCACGGCACUGCGUGACGUAAAUAGUGAAUUUACGAUAGAGCGAUAUUUAGUCUUAGUGAUCUAAACAGAAGUUGUAGAAUAAGUUUAACCGAGAGCGUGCAUAAGAAGAACGUCUAAAUUUGACUUCGUAUGAGGAAGUUAUGAUUUUUCGAAGUUUCGAUUUAGCAGUAUGCAACCCAAAUCUCGAAUUACAGAUCGAGUGAUACUUGGCCGAAACAAUCUAAACGGGAAUCGAAGAUCUCGUCGAUAGUAGUCCAAAAGUGAAAAGACAUACGAAAACGGACGUCGGAUGAAGAAGUUAUGAAUUUCUAACGGAGUUUUCCUGUCCGACCUGCUAAAAAUAAUAUAAUAAAAAUAAGUUCAAAAUUAGCCGACGCAGUCUAAACGAAAGUUGUAGAGCAUAGUCUCACCUAUGUGUGGAUAUAAAGAACAUAAAAAAUGGAGCUCGUAUGAGGAAGAUAUGAUAUUAUGAAGUUUUUAAAUAAUUAAAAUAUAUAAAUUUUAUUAUAUAUUCGGAUAAUAUCCGAAUCCAUGACUCAGCCGAUCUGAUCCGAAGAUUACGCCCAACGUACUGCUUGUAGAGGCAUUACGCCCAGCAUAAUCAGGAUUUACGCCCAACGUAAAUCGAGGUUUCAUCCCCUAUAAAUAGAAGUCGUGGGCAGCCGAGUUUUGUUGCUCAUUUCUUCCUCUCUCUCCCGUUUUACCUCGUUUUACGUGCAAGCUUUACCCCCGAAGCCGCGGUAUCAUUCCCGAGACCCGAAGCCCCGGGGAUCCCGAGAAGUAAAGUUUCUGAGCCGAAACUCUGCCCGUGUAAAGCCCGGUUUUGGAGAAAACGUCCUGGUUUUAUCGGAAAAUAUUAUUUUAAUAUAUGAGGUGAUGUCCGAUCAUCUUCUUAUCAAGUGAGUGUAUAUUCCCUUUCUUCUAACACAUAGAUAUGAAGUAUCUACUUUAGAAUAUGUGUUACAUGUGUAUAAAUAUACGUGUAUAUAUAUGUUAUCUGUUUAUUUGGAAUGAGUAUCUUAUUAGUUUUUAAGUUACAUAUGAAUGCAUAUGUAUGUUGUUAUCUACAAAAUGUUGGGUAGAACUUGUGUAGAUAGUUGAUGUGUGAUAAACUGAUGAGAUGCCUCGAUGUGAUUGUGAUCUAGUCAUUCAACAGAAUAUGGGUGACGACCACGGACUCUUUCUAGACUGUCCCGUGGAAUGCUGGCAGGCUCAUAACCUGUAGGUGUUGGUGAACUUGGGUGUUCAUUUGUUGUAUUCUAUCCCCCUCAUGGUUGCCUUAGGACAUUCAUUGUUGAGAAAACCCCUCUGCAGUAGUGUCCGUCCUGAUGAAAAUCCUAGAUUAGGUCCCUUGUAAUAGUUAUUGUCAUAGUGACGUAAAGUGAGGAUAACAGGAAUGGGUAAUCAGGUUAUUGUUGGUUGGUGAAAUUAAAUAUAAUUAGUUAUUGUGGGUUGAAAACCCUAUAUGCUCACCAGGCUCCCAAGCUUGACCCACUCAGUUUUUUUGUAUUACAGGUAGUGGUGCGAGGGCAUAAGUUGGAGAACUUAUGAAGAUGUUUUUGUUUAUAGACCAGUAGUUGUAUAUAACAGUGUAAGGUCUAUGUUUUACUGUUUAUGCUUUUGUGUCUGUAUCGGAACAUGACAUCCUGAGUUUUGAUAUAUAAUGAAAAUACAUUUCUUUAAGAAAUGUUUUGAUAAACUUUAUUUUAUCAUGUUUUGUUUUAGGGACAAAUUCUGCAACUCUUUUAAAUCAAUGGAUUUACUCUGAAAUUAUUUUAAAAACAUAAAUGAAACCGGCCUUUUCUGGCCGUGAUUUUGGGGAUUUCACACAUGGUCUGAUACUAUCUUUAAAGGAACACCAUGAAGUCUUACUACCUCCUUCACGUAAGCAUUUGCAAGCUUAUCUGUAGACCAUCUUGUUGGAUUAGUGUCUAAGUCCAUAACUAUUUUGGUAUGUACUUGACCCGAUGGUGCAUGGUCCUUUUGGGUUGCCUUCACCAAAGCAACUUGAUUGGAGAAAUAAAUAAAGAGAGAGAGGUUAUUAUGAUUUAUUAAUAUGUUAUAAGAAUAAUAUAUUAAAGGAGAAAUCAUAUUUGUUUAAUUAAUAUUGGUCAAUAAUUAAUUAAGAAUUAAUUUUGUGAUCAAGUGUAAUUAAUUAAACUAGAGGGGCUGAAUUGUAAUUAUGUGAUAGUUACAAAAUAAGGUAAGGAUUAUCUUAAAUAUAGGGUGAACGAAUUUAAGGAGAUAAUGCCUUAGAAUUCGACUAGGAUAAGGGUUUCUAAGACUUAUCUUAUGGUUGCUUGGUGGGCAAGCAACUAGAUAAGGAUAAGGACUAAAACCCUAAUCUUUACACCUAUAUAAACCCCCUAAGGCUCAUGAAUUCGUCUAAGCCUUCCCAAGAAGUCCUAAGGACGAAUUCCUACCUCUAUCCUCUCUCUUUAUACCUUCUCCAUUUGCUCUUGGUGUUUGUGAGCCAUUAGAGGAGUGACACUUGUGACUCUAAGCCUUCCAAAGUCAAUUCAUGGAGAAUUGGGAUUGUUAUUACUACAUAACAAUCAAGGUAACAUCUUAAACCUAAUUAUAUGUUAAUAUUGAUUUCCAUAUGCUAGAAUUAGGGUUUAUAGUCUUGGAUUCAUUGCAUGUACAAUAGAGAAACCUAGAUCCAAGCAUUAGGGUUUGUAUGAGCACAUAGGAUGUCUUAUGACCAAAACCCAUCAGUGGUAUCAGAGCCUAGCUUGGUUUCAAUUGUAUUGAUGCAUUGUAUAACUGGAAAAUUCGUUUUUUGGGUUUCUGGAGGCUGGACUCGCCGAGUCCAUAGAUGAACUCGCCGAGUCCAUGCUGACUCGACGAGUCCAUGCCUGACUCGGCGAGUCGGCUCGUCAGAAGGAGGGAAAACCGGGAUUUCUUGCUGUUUUUGCUUAAGGAUAGUUGCCUUAUCAUAUUAGAUCAAUAUAAAUCCGAUUUUAUGAUAUAUUUGACUAUAUUCUUGAUCUAAUUGAAGAUAUUUAUCAAUUAAUAAAAUAUUUGUUUCCUUAUGUGAUAAUUGAUUAAUUAUUUUGAUUAAAUUGAUAAAUUGUUUUGCAAGAAAUCAUUAAAUAAAUCAAAUAUGGAUAAUUAUGUGAUUAAAUGUUAAUUUAGAUUAUUUGUUAUUUGAUCCUUGUUGUUAUGAAAAGUUUCAUAUUUUCCCCUUUAGGUUUUAUAGUUUAAAUUUGAACCCAAAAGUUUUGUUGUUUUGAAAUUUAAAUAGUUGAAACCCUAAUGUUUUGAAAAAGGUUUCAAAACUUGCCCUCAAGUUUUGGAAUUUAAAUUUUGAUUAAAUAGUUUAAUUUUGAUGUAUAUUUAAAUUCUAAACCCUAAUGUGUUGAAAUGUUUCAAAACUUGCCCUCAAGUUUUGGAAUUUAAAAGUUGAUUAAAAGUUUAAUUAGGAAUGUUAAAUUCUAAAACUCUAGUAUUGUUUUGAAAAAGUUCAAAUCACACCCUUAUGGUUUUAUUAAUUAAUUAAGGUGUAUAAUUAAAAGAGGUUUAAUAAAUCCAUAAAAGUUUUGGUUUACAAUUUAAUUGAAUUAAAAGUAUAAUUGUUAAAUUUGACCACCUAGUAUUUUAAAAGUGUAAAAUACACCCUAUACUAUAUAUAACAUUAAAAGUCUAACAUUAUAUAUAUGUAUGAGUAAAAGUCAGUCUUACCGUUAGUAGGCCUCAUUCACGAAGCUGGUCUAUAAGGGGUGUUUAAGGAAAUUGCCUAUAAAAUGGCGAUUGAAUGGGUAUCCACUCUUACCCACCGCACUCUUGACUAGUGGAGGGUCGUUAGCCGAACGGGUAGGAUAGGACGAAACCUUCCAUUAUAAGUAUAAUGAAGUAUAAAAGUAACUAAAUGUUUUCAUAAAAUUCCCAAUCUUAGUUACUUAGGCAAAAGUGAAUUGAUGCAAUUCCAUGAAAUUACACUUUGUGCCCUUGCGAAGACGUUAGUGGAGCGUGUGUGGUUUACCGGCACACUAAAUGGUUCUAAGCAAAGGUAGCAAAGGGUGACUCAAUGUUUGUCAUAGUUCGGUGGAGCGUGUGUGGUUUACCGGCACAUCGAAUAGGUGACUGUAACAUGUGAGGGCACCAUGUAAGUUUGCAUGGUUAUUCACACCCGCUUUGUGAUCCUCGGCAUCCCAGUCACAAACAAGAGGGGCAUAUCGAGAUUUAAACAUGCCAUUGAAAUGUUCAAUGAAUCUCAAAGGAUCUAGGAGUUUUCAUAGAUUUAAAACUUAAAUUUCUUUUUCGUUUUUCAUGGUGGAAAUUAGUGAAUCGUCAUUCACUUACCUUCAAAUGUUCUGCAAUUUGGGUUACGGCAUCCCUCUCCCGAGUUGUAGAAUAUUGUGUUGGGUCCUAGCCUUAGUAUCUCAUUUGGGUGAUUUACUAAGGACUCAAUCAAUCAACUAACUUGAAUUCUUUUUCUCCCGUUUUGUAGAUGUCAAAGUUCGACAACUAUGGUCUUCCCAAAUCCCGUGGAACAAGCAUUCCACAUGAAGAUGAUAUUCCACGAUUCGAUCGAGGAACAAGAAAUCAUGCUUCACUUCCUCCACCUCCUCCAAUUAUUCUCCCUAACCCACAAGUUCAAAGGCUUGAAAAGUUCAAGAUCACUCA
This 63630-nucleotide long non-coding RNA is filed under the name Lactuca sativa (garden lettuce). RNAcentral's name for it is "long non-coding RNA (LSAT_LNC003408)". The record is from RNAcentral. Lineage: Eukaryota; Viridiplantae; Streptophyta; Magnoliopsida; Asterales; Asteraceae.